CCCGAGUCGAAGCUCUGCCCGCGAGAAGUUCGAUUUUCGAGGAGAUCUUCCAGAUCUGCUGUGGAUUACUACUUCUAUAAGCCGUAGUGCUGUCGGAUCGUCUUCUGAUCAAGUGAGUGUGUAGUUAUUUCUUCUAAUACAAUAAUACGAAGUAUUUUAUAUAAAAAUACGUGCUAUGUGUAUAUAUUUGGUUGUGUUAUGUGUGAAUGAGUAUUCACUCUCUUCUAUCUUAUAGAUCUGCUUAUUUCUUUAUGAGAUAUGUGUUAUGUGUGUGUGCCUCAUCUGUUAUGUGACAUAUGUGUUGAUUAAAGCAUGCUAUACAGGUUUUCUUUAAACUACGUAUGAAAAUAUAUAUUUUUAUCUACUAAUAUGUUGGGUAGAACAUGGGUAGAUAGUUGGUGUGUAAUAAACAGAUGAGAGGCCUCGAUGUUGUUGUUGUUGUUGAUCUAGUUAUUCAGCGGAGUAUGGAUAACGACCACGGACUCUUUCUAGACAGUCCAGUGGAACGCUAGCAGGUUCAUAACCUGUAGGUGUUGUGAACGAUGUGUUCACCGGUGUACUCUAUCCCCCUCAUGGUUGCCUUUAGGAUAUCUAUUGUUGAGGAAACCCCUUCGCAGUGAUGUCCGUCCCGAUGAAAAUCCUAGAUUAGGUCCCUUGAGAUAGUUGUUUUAGGGACGUAAAGUGAGGAUAACGGGAAUGGGUAAUCGGGAUAGUGUUUGGUUGGUGAAAUUAAAUAUAACUUAUUUAUUGUGGGUUGAAAACCCUAUAUGCUCACCAGGCUCCCAAGCCUGACCCACUCAGUUUUAUUUGUAUUACAGGAAGUGGCACAAGGGCGUAAGAUGGAUGGAUCAUCUUGUUGUUUUGUUUACAAGUCUGUAUAUGUAUAUAUUUGUUGAAUGACUUGUAAUGUUUAUCGUUUAUGCUUUAUGGUCUGUAUCAGAACAUGACAUCCCGAGUUUUGAUUAUAUAAUGAAAUGCAUCUCUUGAUGAAAUGCUUCGAUAAAUAUUAUUUUAUCAUGUUUUGUUUUGGGAACAAAUUCCGCAACUCUUUCAAAUCAAAAGGAUUUACUCUGAAAAUAUUUAAAAGCAUAAAUGAAAAUCGGUCUUUUCUGGCCGAGAUUUUGGGGAUGUCACACUUUUAGACCAGAUUCUGGGCAGAGUGUGCCCAGGCGAUUGAGGCGCAGCAGUUGGCGCAAGAGGUGUUAAAUCUCCACUAAGAGAUUGAGACUGUGGCAGAGAUCACUGCCAAGUCUCGGGAAAGAGCUUAUAUGGUGCCACAAUAUGUAGCAGAUGAGGAAAUGAAGACGGUAAGUUAUUAGAACAUACUGUAGAAUGAUAGCAGGGAGAUCAUGAGUAUCUCGGGGUGCAAGACCCUGAAUGAUAUGACUUCUAGAGCACGAGAGCGGGAUAUUGACUUAGAGCACAUUGUUAAGAGGGAACCAUAUCAGUUUCUUAUAGUGAAGGGUCUCGGGAGGAGAUCGUAGAUUUCAGAUCAACUUUUAAGAGGCCAACAGGGUUAGAUUCAGUACAGCACGUGUGGGAAACUGCAUGAUAAAGUCUUUCGUUCCAGGGGUUGAGUAGUGUGACUCUGGGUUAUCCUCCGUUUGUGUUUGAAUUAUAUGUUCAAGAGAUGUCAUAUGCCAAUUCCAUGCCGAGAAGCAUUAACGAAUAGUGAUAGAGCAAUUCCCCAGAUUACGGGAUUGGGAAGGUACAAUGUCAUCUUGGUUUAUUCCAAGACUGAGGAGCAGCAUGAGAAGCACCUGAGGGAGGUGCUAGAGACUUUGAAGAGGGAGAGAAUUUUCAUAAGGUUCUUCAAUUGUGAGUUCUGGUUGUGCGGGGUGAAAUUUCUUGGGCACCUUGUUAAUCAGAAGGAUAUUCUAGUCGAUCCGGGCAAUAUAGAGGCCGUGAUGCAGUGGGAGAUUCCGAGGUCUCCAUUUGAGAUUCGGAGCUUCCUGGGUAUAGCAUGUUAUUAUCGGAAAUUUAUUCGGAUUUUUAGAAGUUGUGUGAUCUUUUGGAUUAGCUAGUGUUGAAACACUAGCAAUGGUAAGUGUGGUUUCUAGCAGAUUGGUCAUGGGUGGUGAGAAGGAUUGGGAAUUCUUCCAGUUUUGUGUGCUGUAGGGCAUUAGCUGAAUCAAAGUGGGGGAGAAUCACCCAAGGAUUCAGAAGCAGGAGCAGUUUUGAGACUAGGAUAAGUUUCGCAUCCUUAUUGGGAAGGAAGAUAGCCCAAGCGGUUGUAUGGUUUGAGGAUAGUGUGAGAUGGAAGUUCGGAAAAGCCUGCCAAUAAGGAGAUCGUGUUCCCGUGAUGUUACUAGCAAGCCUUAGGGAAUCAGGUUUGGGAUUCCAGUCAGGACACGAGUUCAGCUGAGUGUGGGGCAAGCGCGUGUUCGAUCCAGUAUUAGAGUGUUGUAAGCCUGCGGGUGUAGCCGUAGCAUUCACUAGCAGUCAGAUAGCAUUAGAGUGUUGUAAGUCUGCGGGUGUAGCUGUAGCAUUCACUAGCAGUCAGAUAGCAUCAGAGUGUUGUAAGUCUGCGGGUGUAGCCGUAGCAUUCACUAGCAGUCAGAUAGUAUUAGAGUGUUGUAAGUCUGCGGGUGUAGUCGUAGCAUUCACAAGAUUAGCAGAUAGUACUAGAGUGAUGUGAGUCUGUGGGUAUAGCUGCAGCCUUCACUAGGUUGGUAGAUAGCGUGAGUGCGUUAUUAGAACGCGAAAAGAUCAGUAGUACCCACCAGUUCGGGUAUAGCAGUGAGGAAAUGGAAAUCCACGGAUUAGAUUUUGGAAUUUCCCAGACGGAUGAGACCUGGUUAAGCCAGUGAUAAGAUUGUAGAAGCGCGACUAUAGAGAUAAGAGCAAGGAAGCAGUGGACUGCUUAAGGUCAUUUAUGACAUAAGGCUACCUUUGGUGAUGUAGCAAUCGCGUUUAGCUUUGGGUUUGGUGACGUCAGGAUUCGACACAUGGAACCAAUCAGUUAGAGCAGAAGGCCGUUAGGGCCACAGUGUCAGGAUAACUAGUAGCAGCUAGAUCCAUAGAAGGAUUUCAUCCAGAAGUCGUGCGAGGCGGCUAAGUAGGGAGUCCUUUGGCUCUGCAGUUGGGCUGGAACCUGAUAUUUCAGAUGAUUGGCGGAAAAUUGAGACCAGGUAGGUCUCGGUAGAUGUUGGGAAGCAGCCAUGUGGCAGUUCAGUGUUUCAGGCAGUUCACUAUUCAGGCAGUUCAGUGUUUCAGGCAGUUUAGUGUUCGGGCAGUUCAGUGUUUUAGACAGUCAGUGUUUCAGGCAGUUCCGUGUUUUCAGGCAGAUCAGGGAUUCAGACAGUUUUGGGUCUCCAUCAGUGAUGGUAUUUGAGGAUCUCAUGUAUGAUAAGCGUAAGAGAUUGCUGAGUAAUUCUUAGUCACCCACCGCGGGGUUCAGCUAUAAUGAUUCAGUAUGAGUGGUCUGUUAGGGAUUCAGAUCAUCUAGAGAUAGCAAACGUCAGACAGAGUACAUGACAGCUUGUUGCGAGGGAUUAGUUCGCCUGCAAAUGUUAGGGUUUUGUGAUGAUUGGUUACAGCUACCUUGAGAAGGUUAGGGUGCGCCCAGGAUGGUGACCAUGUUACUUGAGUGGUUAGCGUGUAAGGUAUGAUAAGGAUUGAUUUUGAGGACGAAAUCUAAUUUAAGUGGGGGAGAGUUGUAACACCCCGUUUAUAAAAUAAAUAAAUAAAUGUAUAGAAGCCCUAAAAUGAAUAAUAAUUGAGCGAGAUGAUAGUUUUGAGGAGUUAAAAGUCAUAAUUACAGAAGUCAGGGUGCGUUUGGUAAUUAAUGGACUUAAAUUGAAAAGAUUUGAAGGCUUAAGGGUUUAUUGGUGAUUUAUGGAUCUGUUAUGAAAGAAAUUUAUGGGUUCAGGGUUUAAAAGGUAAGUUUUGGAUGCAAUCUGUAAAGAUUUCUGUGGGCAGGGUCUAUUUGGUAUGUUUUGGACUUUGAUUGAAAACAAAUUAGGGUGGAGGGGCUGAAGUUGAAUAAUCUGAUCAUAUGUUUGAAAUAAGAUACGGGAUAUACCCGUAUCCCUUCCCCACGUCAUUUCCUUCAACCCUAAAACUAAGAGACCAUUUCUUUGCUCCAGCCGCCAUCACCAUGCGAUUUUCCUCCAGCCGCCACCGCCGAUCUCAGGUCCGAUUUCCAUCCCUCCACCUGCAACCUUACCGUCGGACGCCACCCAACAGCCCCUGGUGCCGAUGUCGUUGUGUGCAACCGUAAGAGUCGACGAAAACCAAAGAUGGAGGCCGAGAACGUCGUCGAAUGGUCCAAGAGCGAUCUGGAACUUCUCGGUAUGCCAGCAACACUUGAUUUCUUCAUUCUCCUAUUCGAUUUCAAUGUCGAGAUCAUUGUUGUCGCCGACAACGACUUUUGGUCGCUACCCCCCAGCUUGUUUCAGCGUCGCUAGCCGCCUAGUCAGUGGUGGGAGCGGUGGUCUCGUGUCACGCAAAUAUACAUAUUGCUGUCGAACCAUGAAGUGUUGUGAGAUUGUUGCUGGCCGGAAAUCGAGGAAAAGAACCACCAUGGCCGCCUGCCAUGGUGGUCGUCGCUACUGCCGCCUCCCGGUGAUGCUGNNNNNNNNNNNNNNNNNNNNNNNNNNNNNNNNNNNNNNNNNNNNNNNNNNNNNNNNNNNNNNNNNNNNNNNNNNNNNNNNNNNNNNNNNNNNNNNNNNGUUUAGUCGGAAUCCUCGGGAAAAGCCACUGCCACCACGAGCCGCCGUCGGCCACCAUGGUGUGGUUGUGUGUGUAUGUUAGUUAGUUAGUGGUGUGUGUUCAUUUUGAUUAAAGCAUUAUAACUGUAAUUGCCAAAAGAAUAAUGAAAAGAAAUGGAAAACCACCACCGUAAGGUGGUGGCCGCCGCCACGAGCCGCCAUGGACCACCACUACCCAAGGUGGUAGGGGGUGGUGUCCCACAAGCAAAACCCUAAUGGGCUUAGAGAUUUAUUUUGGGCCUAUUGGGCCACGUUUGGAUGAGGAACCCUAAUUAGGGUUUAGAAAACCCUAAUUGUGAGUGUUUGGGCCUUAGACUUAUUGGACCCACUUUUGGGCCAUUGAGAUGGGAUUAUGUAUUAAGCCCAAUCACUCCAUCUCAUUUAUCUAGUAGAGUAAAGGACUUAAUGGACUAAGUCCUUAAUGGGCUAAUUGAGAAAAUACUAAUAUUUAAGAGAUUAUCAGCACACACACGAGAAUUAUUUAAUAAGUGAAUAUUAAAUAAUAAUCAUUGGCAGAAAUUAAUCUAAGCAAUAAUGGACUUAAUGGAUUAAGUCCUUAAUGGAUUAAGUCCCUAGUGUGUUAAGUCCUUAGUGGGUUAAGUAAGAAACACUUAACCCUAGUUAUCAUUUGAUGUGAAACCCUAAUUUCACUUGGGCUUUGUGUUGGGCCAUCCGAGAAUAAUCAAAUGGACUAGAGUAAUUAGUUGGGCUUUAGGGUAAGGCCCAUAUGAAGGAUUGGGCCNNNNNNNNNNNNNNNNNNNNNNNNNNNNNNNNNNNNNNNNNNNNNNNNNNNNNNNNNNNNNNNNNNNNNNNNNNNNNNNNNNNNNNNNNNNNNNNNNNNNNNNNNNNNNNNNNNNNNNNNNNNNNNNNNNNNNNNNNNNNNNNNNNNNNNNNNNNNNNNNNNNNNNNNNNNNNNNNNNNNNNNNNNNNNNNNNNNNNNNNNNNNNNNNNNNNNNNNNNNNNNNNNNNNNNNNNNNNNNNNNNNNNNNNNNNNNNNNNNNNNNNNNNNNNNNNNNNNNNNNNNNNNNNNNNNNNNNNNNNNNNNNNNNNNNNNNNNNNNNNNNNNNNNNNNNNNNNNNNNNNNNNNNNNNNNNNNNNNNNNNNNNNNNNNNNNNNNNNNNNNNNNNNNNNNNNNNNNNNNNNNNNNNNNNNNNNNNNNNNNNNNNNNNNNNNNNNNNNNNNNNNNNNNNNNNNNNNNNNNNNNNNNNNNNNNNNNNNNNNNNNNNNNNNNNNNNNNNNNNNNNNNNNNNNNNNNNNNNNNNNNNNNNNNNNNNNNNNNNNNNNNNNNNNNNNNNNNNNNNNNNNNNNNNNNNNNNNNNNNNNNNNNNNNNNNNNNNNNNNNNNNNNNNNNNNNNNNNNNNNNNNNNNNNNNNNNNNNNNNNNNNNNNNNNNNNNNNNNNNNNNNNNNNNNNNNNNNNNNNNNNNNNNNNNNNNNNNNNNNNNNNNNNNNNNNNNNNNNNNNNNNNNNNNNNNNNNNNNNNNNNNNNNNNNNNNNNNNNNNNNNNNNNNNNNNNNNNNNNNNNNNNNNNNNNNNNNNNNNNNNNNNNNNNNNNNNNNNNNNNNNNNNNNNNNNNNNNNNNNNNNNNNNNNNNNNNNNNNNNNNNNNNNNNNNNNNNNNNNNNNNNNNNNNNNNNNNNNNNNNNNNNNNNNNNNNNNNNNNNNNNNNNNNNNNNNNNNNNNNNNNNNNNNNNNNNNNNNNNNNNNNNNNNNNNNNNNNNNNNNNNNNNNNNNNNNNNNNNNNNNNNNNNNNNNNNNNNNNNNNNNNNNNNNNNNNNNNNNNNNNNNNNNNNNNNNNNNNNNNNNNNNNNNNNNNNNNNNNNNNNNNNNNNNNNNNNNNNNNNNNNNNNNNNNNNNNNNNNNNNNNNNNNNNNNNCAUUAGUAUCUACGAGUCCAAUAACCUAAACAAAAAUCCAUAUCGACAACUCAAAUUUUGUAAUUCUAAAUUCAUUUGCUUUUCUUGUUAUUUUUAUUAUUGUAUUUAUUAUACAACUUAUAAUAUAUGAUAUUUGAACUUCAUUACGUUUUUAAACUUCAUUAUGUUUUUUUUUAAACUCCUUGACUUAUUAAUUUUAAGAAAGAGAUAACUAAAAUGGAGUUUGUUGUUUCAAUUGAAUUUAAUUUUUUAUAUUUUACUGGGUACCCGUGAACCGAACCGUGGUUACCCGCUUUCAUACGGUUCGGUUCGGUUUGGUUUUUUUUGUCAAUAUGGUUCGGUUUCGGUUAGUGCGCAUGAGGUACCCGCCCCGUGGUCACGGUUCAUAAUUUUAUUACUAUCCGAACCGAACCACCCUAUGAACACCCCUAUAUGACAUAAGUAUUUAUUAUCAUAGUUAAAGACUUACAGUACCUUGAAUUUGACAACCGUUUUGUUCUUUUGGUAUAAAAGUGUUUUUUGCGAUUAAGUUGCUCAGAUUGAAAUAGGCAAUUAAGGUGUUAUAUCUUUUUGACUUAAUGGUUGUUGAUUUUACAUAUUUCUAAUCAAAGUUCGUUUUGUAUGGAUCAUUUACUAAUAAGCAAUACUCAUCAUGGACCAUAAACUUUUUUUUUUUGUUUUUUCCAAAUAGGUUUUUAUUAUUUAAUAAAUAACUAAAUGUUAAAUAGAUUUUUUUUAAUACACCGUUAUAUUAACAAAAUCCUUUUAUAUUUUUUCCCUUCUAAUAAGUGGGGUGUUUUUAUACCAUUACAUUAACAAAAAAAUAUUAUGUCAAAGUUUCAUUUUUUAUGGUUUGAAAACUAAUUUUUUUUACUACAUAUACUUUUUAUUAUUCGUGGAGAAAAACAAUUCGUUACCCACCAAAAAGAAAAAGAAGUUAUGUCGAAUUUAUUUUAACCUAAAUUAGAAACACAUUGUUAUUUUUUACCAAAUACUGGAAACCUACUUUUAUAUUUUAAACCCAAAAUGCCAACGUACUUUUAUCGAUCAAUGGCCAUUGGAUUUCGUGAAAUGCUUAUGUUGUAAUUUUUAACCGUUGCUCUAUAUGUCUGUAUUUAAUUAUUUUAUCUCCUACAUAUAUGGUAACAUGAUAUUCUAUAUUAAAAAAAAGAGAGUUUGAGUAUUCGUUUGUAACAAUAUAGACUGGAAAUAUAAAAACUCGGUAAUGACAGUUUCAUGAAAAGAAAAGCAAUUCCAUAUAGAUUGGAAAAAACAGGUUGAAUAUUUUAAAAACAUACCCAUCAAAAUGGUCAAAGUUCCAGAACAAGUUUAGAUGUUAAGGUAAUUUUCAGUUAAUAUUCUGAAUGAUUAGUUGCAGUUUGCUAGGAAGUGACGAAUAAAUGGUUAGUAUUUGAGAUUGUAAGAAAUAAAGAAUUAUCAAUAUUUUGUAACUUGGUUAAAGUUAAUGGCUUUUAUGGUUUGGGCAAACAACAUUAUGUUUAUAUUUUUAAAAUCUAUAUGUUUUAUUUUAUGAAUCGUGGUUUCCAUAGGUUUAAACCUAGUACACGUAUAAUAGAAGUUUUAUUAAGGUAUUGUAACUAAGAUGAAUAAUUAAGAUAUGAAACCUAUAAUAUUCAACCAGAAAGUUGUACUAUUAAUGAGUUAUAAUGUAAAAAAAUAAAACUUUUCAAGAUCAUUUAAAAAUAAUCGAAAAAAGUUAUUUAUUUAUUUAUUUAUUUUUUAUUUAUUUAUAAAAGUACGAUGCUAAUAAUGAACUUUUGUUGCAAAGUUCAAUACUAAAAAUAACUUUUUCCCACAAAAUUGUCUUGUUAAGCAUUAUAUUUUGAAAAAUCUAAUUAUAACAUUGUAUUUUCGAAUAAAAUGAAAGUUAAAUGUUAUAAAAGAAUAUAAAAGAAAGUUAGACACUAUAUAUAAAAUUUACAUAAGACAAAAUUGCAAUGAUUUUAGUCCAAAAAAUCUGUUGGUAUAUAAAUAGUCUAAUUUCAGAUUUUUUUUAGUAAUUUGGUCCAUGUACAGUUAAAAUGACUUUUAUUCCCUUAUGAUUUCCUUUUUCCUAUUUUUUAUUUAUAUUAAUGUUUUUAAUCAAUUAAAAAUAAAAGAUAGGUUCUCUCUCUCCCUCUCUCUCAUGUUCUUGACGAAAGGAAACUAGCAUUUGUGAUGUAAAUCAACCACAUAGAUGAUCUGUCUUACUCACUCUCGUGUUUGGGAGGAAAGAUCACCAACGAGAUAAGUGAUUUUAAUCUCCAAGAAGAAUCACAAGAAGAAUCACAGAAGAAAGCAUCAAAAAAAACUCAAAUGUUCUACCUGUCCUUUGUGACCCAAGCAAAAUCCACAUAACAAAAUCAUCAAAAAAAAAAAAACUCAAAUAUUCUACUAUCUAUACUCAAACUCAUUUACUCUCAACUAGAUAACAAAAUUGACAUAGAUGAAGAAAUCCCAACUCUGACCUGAACUCAACGUCUCAACAUAUUUCGACUUCAUCUUCUCCAACAAGUAAACCUCUAUUCCUUGACCUUAAUAUUCAUCUCCUUCUUUCUUCUUCUCCCAUCUUAACGCCUUCAUAAUCUGUCUCAUCACAGGCCGCAGUUUUGCAUCUUGAUGUGUGCUCUCUUGUUCUUGUACUUCACCUCCGACGAACCACCACCACCCGCUUCGUCUACAAGUUUCUAACAAGAUGGUGACGUCAAAUCGGAUAGGGUAGGUGAUUUAGACGAAGGGUGGGUGAUUCACUUUGUUUUGAUCUCUUUCAUGUUUUUUCGAAAAACAAGAAUUUGAUUGAAAACCUCGUCUUCUUCCAUCACACGCCAAGAAAGAUACGAUUUUACAGCGAUGCCAAACAUUCCACUUUGGGAUUUGCCUGAACCGCCAAUAAUAAGCUUCCUCUUCACCUUCAACUCCAGAAAACUCGCACCUUCUCCCCACCCACUACCUUUUCUUUUAAUUAGGUGCUUAAAGUUAGCACGAUUCCAAUUAAAGUUACCAGGAUCUAGGAUGAACACCCACACACCAUUGCAUCUAACACAAUGUUUAGUUUUUUUAUACUUUUUGUAUUCCGUUUUAAUUUGUUAGUAAUUUAAACAAACUUCAUUUAUCCUAAUUAUGGAUUAAAAGACAUUAAGAUAUCUAUGAAAUAGAUAAAUAGAUUUAAUAAAGUCCUAAUAUUUUGGAAAUUUUUUUAAUAAAGUCCUAAAUUUUAUUUUUUGAACAAAAAAAAAAAUCCUAACUUUUUCACUUUUUGAAUAGAAAAGCCCAAGAACCGGCUAAUUUAUUCGCUUUAGCCAUUUUUGACAUGUCCAGACCUAAUUGUUAAUUUUUCGAAAAUAUUGAGACUUUUUUGCAGAUUUCGAUAAAAUUUGUAUAUAAUGUAUAAACAUAUUUUUUACGUAUUUAUAUCUAUUUUUACAUAUUUGUCUAUUUUUUAAGUUUUUAUACGUAUAUAUUAACAUAUUUUUAUGUAUUUUAAAUGUAUAAAUGUAUUUUUUUACUUAUUUAUAUGUAUUUUUAACCAUUUUACAUAUUUUUUAUGUAUUUUUAUGUGUUAUUUUAUAUGUAUUAUAUCUUUAUAUGUAUUUUUAUGUAUUUUUUUAUGCAUUUAUGUAUUUUUUUAAGUUUUUUAUAUAGAUGUUUAUAUAUUUUAAAUGUAUAAACGUAUUUUUUACGUAUUUAUAUAUAUUUUUAAGUAUUUUACAUAUUUUUAUGUAUUUUUAUGUGUUUUUACACUACAUAUUUAUGUAUUUUUUAAAGUUUUUUAUAUAGAUGUUUAUGUAUAUUUAUGUAUUUUAAAUGUAUAAACGUAUUUUUUACGUAUUUAUAUAUAUUUUUAAGUAUUUUACAUAUUUUUUGUGUGUUUUUAUGUGUUUUUUUUAUGUAUUAUGUAUUUAUAUGUAUUUUUGCGUAUUUAUGUAUUUUUUAGUUUUUUUAUAUAGAUGCUUGUGUAUUUUUAUGUAUUUUAAAUGCUUACUUGUAUUAUUUUUACGUAUUUAUGUAUUUUUUUACUUCAUGUUGUCUUCACAAUUUCAUCUAUUUUUUUUACUUCAAGUCGUCUUUACCAUUUCGUCUAUAUAUGAGUAUGUAGGAAAAUCAUCUAGACAUACCCGAAGAAGAUAUACGAAUUGGAUGAAAUAAUGAAGACGACUUGAAGUAAAACAUAAAUAAAUACGUAAAAAAAUACAGCUAUACAUUUAAAAUACAUAAGCAUCUAUAUAAAAAACUUUAAAAAAAAUACAUAAAUACAUAAAAAUACAUAUAAAUACAUAAUACAUAAAAAAAACACAUCAAAAUACAUAAAAAUAUGUAAAAUACUAAAAAAUACAUAUAAAUAUGUAAAAUACUUAAAAUACAUAUAAAUAUGUAAAAAUACGUUAAUACAUUUAAAAUACAUAAAAAUACAUAAACAUCUAUAUAAAUCUUUAAAAAAAAUACAUAAAUACAUAAUACAUAAAAAAAUAACACAUAAAAAUAAAUAAAAAUUAUAUAAAAUAGUUAACGAUGCAUAUAAAUAUGUUAAAAACAUGUUUAUAAAUUUAAAAUACAUAAACAAUGUAAACAUUUACAUAUAAAAACUUAUAAAAAGACAUAAAUACGUAAAAAUAUAUAUAAAUAGAUAGUACAUAAAAAAUAACACAUAAAAAUACAUAAACAUAUACAUAUAAAAAAUUUUAUAUAUAUAUANAUAAAUUAUUUAGUUUUUUGGGCUUUUCUAUUUAAAAAAGUUAAAAAGUCUUUUCUAUUUAAUAAAUAAAAUUUAAGACUUUAUUAAAAAAAAAUCAAAAUAUUAAAAGUUUUCUGUAGAUUUUCCUAUAAACAUAUGAUAUAUAUACUUUACAUAUCAUUCAUAAAUUAUAUUAAAUUAUUAUUUGUACUGUAACGAAAAAUUAAAAAAAUACAAAUAGUUGAAAAAAAUCCUUCAUAAAUUUAAAAUAUUAUAAAUAAUGUAUAUAAGAUAAUGGUAAUGGGUACUCUUCACUUCAUGUACAAUGGAAAAGAAAAAGUUGAAAUAAUGUAUAAAAAUUGUCAUUGUUGUUGGCUAUGUCAAACGGUCUAAAUAUUAAGAACUACACCUUUAAUUGUCAAUCUACAAAUUUACCUGUGAUUUCAUCAUUUAAGAAUUUCUUCUCAAUAAUGUAUAAGAUCUACUAAAAAAUAAAUAAGUUUUUCCCUGUAACCGAGCAUAAAAUAGAGUCACUAAUUAGUGCACCAAAACCCUUAUAUUUUCGGAAGUUUUUAUUUAAGGUUUUUGACCUCAGAAAAACCUAAUAUAUUUUCAUGAAAUAAUUAAAAAAACAUUAUAUUAUCUAGGAUAUACCGAGCUCGAUGACUUAAAUGAUACAUUUUAAAAAAAAUAUAUAAAGGUUUUAACGUACAAAUAAAUAAUAUAGUGGUUUUCUUUAAGACUUUAAUGAAAAUAUGUUGGAUUUUUAUAAGGUUUUCCCCACUGAUUAUUCCCUCAAUUUUCUUAAUCUUUUUGGCUUCAAACACAAAUAUUGAUCAAUCUAAUUGCAAAAUUCAAAUCUAUAUUCAAAAUUACUUGAAUCCAAAAACACUCUUCAAAUUUAGUCGCAAUAAGAUCUUGAACCGAAAAGAUUGCAUAAGGGGUACUUAUUUUGCAAGUCGGCUACAUCAUACACAAAUAUGAAGGAAUUUUCAUAACUAUUGUCAAGGAUCGACCAAACACAAGUUGAAUGUGUAAGAAACAUAUGGACUGCUUUUUUGACAUAAAAUAAUUGUUUAUUUAAUAAGGUAAAUUAAUUAGAAUGAAUCAGGGUCGGUCCAAACAUAUAUGGGGUCCGGGGCAAAAUGAAAAAAAGGUUCUCUCAAAGACAAAUAUAAUAAAGAUUAAAAAAUAUAUUAUUUACUCUUCAAUAUAGACGUGUUCAAUUAGCAUUAACAAACAAACUAAGUUGUUUAUUUUUUGAGCUAAUUUGAGUUUCAAUAAACUUUAGGCCCUAAAAACCAUUUAGGUAAUAAUUUGUUUUUAUAUAUAUAUAUAUAUAUAUACUACAUAACCCAUAAAUUUUGGCCCCCCCUGGAGUCGUGGGCCCUGGGCGGUCGCCCGAAUUGCCCACCGUCUGGACUGGCCCUGGAAUGAAUAAAAGUUUAAAAAAGUGAUUACAAAAAUCUAAAAUGGUAAAAUAGGCAAGUUAGUUGCUAUUGCUGAUUAAAAAGUACAUUGCUUACUUUUGUAAAAAAUGUUUUGCUAUUUGAUAACCCAUGAAGAUAUUUGUAGAUGUCGAAUUAUAUUGUAAGGUGUCGAAUAUUUUGAAUAGUUUCGAACGUUUAUAAUGUUAUUAUAAUGGCGAUUUUAGUUUCAAGACUUUGAUGUAAUGUCCCUUAUAUUUUUGUAUGCUUUUAUGUUUCCUAUAAAUAGUGAGGUGUACUAGAUAUAGAUAAGAACUUUUCAUGUAAUUGUCUAAAAACUCUAUGUACUCUUGAAAGCAUAAAUUGAGACAAACAUACUUUAUUUAGAUAUUGUGUUCAUCAUUCUUACUUUACUCUGAUCUUGUUACUCAAACUCGAUUUUAGUACAACUACAUUUGGUAUCAGAGCAGGAUUCAUAUAGAACUGUUCUGAUUUUCUGAAUUUUUGCAAAAGUUUUGAGUCUCGUUCUAGAUUUCAAUUUUCCACUCUUUUGCUUCAAAAAAUCAUCUUAGAUCUUCUGUUGUGAGUCGAUUCUGACUUCUAGUUGUUAAAUCAAGUGUUCAAUUGGUGAAUUCUGAGUGAUUUGGCUGUUUGAUCUUAUUGUAAUUUGAGCAUUUCUCAAAAACUUUUCAUACAACAAUGGCGAACUUCAACAUGAAAAUGACGACCUCUUACUCUCAUCUCCUUGGAUCAUCAACGAAAAUUCCAAUGUUGAUUCCGGAGUACUACGAUCAUUGGGCUGGUCGUAUGGAGGAUUACUUAAACGGAAUUAAUGAAGAACUUUGUAAGUGUAUUCUCGGUGAUGUUCGUCCACCUCCUGCUGUUCAGAGUAUUGGAACUUCUUCCAAUAAUCAGAAUGUUAAUGAACAUACCGAAAGGUUAGUGAAAAAUGAGAAGAAGUGUAUGAGAGAACUUAGAGGUGCUCUGCCUUCUGUUGUUUAGAAUUACAUUCGUAGUUGUAAAACUACAAAAUAAAUUUGGAAUACUCUGAAGGAAAAGUAUCAAAGAAGUGAAAAGACAAAAAUCAAUUCAGUGAAACAUUGUCUGGUGGAAUUAAGAAAAUUUAAACAGAAAGAAGGUGAAUCCAUUGAAUUGUACUAUGAUCGUCUGAAUGAGCUCAUAUAAAAAUGCAAUCGAUAUGGGAUCACCAGGUCAACAAUGGAGUUUAAUCUCGCAUUCAUUAUGGGGCUUCGCAAAGAGUGGCAAAAUGUUAGUUUGAUGGUGAAGACUCAACAAAGUUUCGAUUAUUUCUCCUUGAAUGAUCUUUACAAUCUGUUGAAGACUCAUGAAUCCGAAGUAAAUGAAAUAGCUAAAGAAGCGAAGAUCAGUCUGGGUGGUCCGCUUGCUUUGGUUUCGAAAGUUACUGGAAGGGAAGAUGAGAAAGAGUCUACAGAGAAGGAAGAUUCGGAUGAUGAAGGUCUGAUUGUAAACUAUGAUGAUGAGGCUAUUGCAUUUUACUCUAACAAUCGAGCAAAUAAAUUUUGCCAUUUAAUGCAAAGUCGAAAACAAGUAAUUGUGAAGGCAAAUUUUGCUGGAAAAUCUGGGAAUAAUGAGAAGAAGGCUGAGAUAAAGGAAGUUCGUGCUGAGGAAGAGAAGAAAGAGAAAAAGCUAAAAGGAGAUGCUGGAUUCGACUGCCAUUACUGCAAUGGCGCGAAUCAUAUGGCAAAUGACUGCAUGCUUCAAAAGCGUGAUGAGAAGAAGAACAAGGUAAAAGACGAAGCUUAUUAUGUUGAAAGGCUGAAAGAGGUUCAUGCAAAGGCAAAGGGAUUGUCUUUGGUUGCCAAAGGUGUGGAUGAAGGAGAUGGUACAUACCAGAUUUGGUCAUCUGGUUCUGACGACGACGAGAUGCGAAACCCUACACACGAGGCUAUGUUCGCGAAGUAUGAGGAAGAAGAGGGAGAGAAAAUAACUGGGAAGUGCUUUGUUUUGACAUCUUCACACAAAUCACCAAUGACUUCUCAGUUACGUUCUCUUUUACAAUCUUUUAAUAUUCCCUCUAGUGCAUAUGAUUCGAUUCUAUCUGAGUUUGAUUCAACUAUUACUUAAGUUAAUGAUCUACUUAUUUCUGCUAGUUCUGAUGCUAAGAAGUUGAACACACAACUCUUAGAAACUCAGAGGAUGUUGGAUUCGAAGAAAAUGAAAAUAGAAUACCUAGAUAUGCAAAUAACAAAUUUGAUGUGUGAUAGAGAUAAUUUAAGCGCAAAUGUUAAAAUGUUGUUAAAAAAAGAAAUAUAUAUUGUAACUUUGCCAAAAGAUUAUAUGGUAAAUUGAUAGCAUUGCAUCAUUCGUCGGAUAUUAGCAAGGAACAACAUAGGAAACUUUUACCCUUUUUAGCAUUCGAAAAGGAGAAAAUUGACUCUAUUUCCUAUGAUUGUGAAAAAACAAUUGCUGAAUUCGAUAAGGUUCCAGAUAAUAGAUAUGCAUAUGGAAUAGUGAAAAUUGAUGAAUUUCGGAAUGCUAAUGAAUCAUUUGAUAUUGUUAAUGAAACCUUGACCAAAGACGAACAAAUUAAGAUUUUGAAAAGAACUGAGAAUUCGAAAACUAACCCUCAAAAUAGUUUUGUUGAUAUCGAAGAUGAUUAUGAUGAUAUUAGUGAAAUUGAAGAGGAGGAAGUUAUUGAUUGUUCUCAGUUGUCUGUCAUUAAUGUCACUUCAAUGGCUAAAGGAAAAGAAAAAUGUAAUGAAUCUACGUUUAAAGUUGACACUACUCUACCCUCAAUUUCAAAAGUUCAUGAUCUUGACCAUGUGACUAUCGAAGAUUGUCAAACAGACAGUGAAGAUGACAAUGAAAAAGUUACGAAAGAAACAACAAUACCAAGGGUUGUAGUUGAUUAGGUUUUUGACAAAACUGAGAAAUUCGACACAAUUAUGAAGGAAAAAGGUUCUUAUUAUCUUGAGACAAACACUGUUGUGUAUCCGAAUUUCAAAUGCACAGAUGAAGUUAUUUUUCCAAAUAAGGCUUUUGUGACAACAGAGAAUUAUGAUAAAAUUAAACCUGAGUUUAAUAAAAUGAUUGAAGAGGAUAACAAGAAGUCAUCAAAAGAAGGAUUUUUCUCAAACCAAAGUACCGUCAAAAACAAUCUCACACAUAAUUCAUAUACUUUUCAAAGACAAAAACCAAAACGAGUUUCGGUUGAAAAAUCAAAAGAUAUUUCAAAACAAGAUGAUAAUGUUUCACAACAUGUCAAAAUUAAUUCUCAAGAGUUUAAGGAACAAAUGGAUAAAAUUUUGAAAGAAAGUGGUGUUUCAAAUAGACAAGCAAGAAAAAAAGUUUUUUGGCAAACAAUAGAAUCUUGCAAGAAAUCGAAUGAUUUGCUAAAUAAAACAUCUGAACCGAAAAAGUCUAAAUCGAUUCAGACUUCUUUUCAAAAGAUAGUUGAAAAUAAGAAAAAUCCCGCUCUAACUCGAAAAGAUAUGUCUCAACAAAAACCACAAAAUGAUUUUUCAAAGACUAAAACUCAAGAGUUAAAAUCAAAUUUUCAAACAUCAAAUACAAACAAGUUUUCAAAUCAUCAGUCAUCAACGAAUUUCCAUUCAAAUCAACAAACAAAGUUUUCAUAAAAUCAUUUUUCAUGAAAAAACCGAUUUUUGAAUAAAACAAUGGAUGUUCAAAUCAUUUUUCUUCUCAGACGGAACAAUUGUUUUCAACUCAAAAGUUCGAUAAAUUUCAAUCUAAAAGGACUGUGACGUUUAAACCAACACAACCACAUUUUCCCAAUCCUCCUACGAAACAUGUUACCAAAGUUUUGUAUGCCAAAAGUACGUCAGAUGUGAAAAACAUUAACCAUUGGCUCGAAGGAAAAGGCAAAUCAUUUCAGUCAUCAAAGUUUUCUCAACAACAAAUCAAGGAUGCGUAUGAACAGUAUUUGAAUGAAUCUUCAAAUGGAAGUUCUUCAUCCAAGGAAUCGAAUCCUUCUGUCAAACAAUGGAGAGCCAUUCCGAAAGAAAAGGUUACUAAGAAACGAAUUGAGAAGCAAAAGGAGAAAAUCGGUGAAAAUUCUAAACCUGAGAAUACUUACUUUUCUGUGCCUUUAACCAACGAAGUUGACGUAAUUGAUAGUCUCAAAUCUAAAGUUUGUAAUUGGAUUUUAGGAACUUCUUUUUACAAUGUUUUUUAGUCUAAUAACCAAUGACCCAAACAGCCUUGGGGACCUAAAUUCUUUCACUGAUUGCAGGUUUUGUGUGACGAGCAAUAUGAUGACAAAUGGUAUAUUGAUAGUGGUUGCUCUCUUCACAUGACUGGGAAGAAGGAAAACUUUUGUGAUUAUUGAAGUUUAGAUAAUUCUGGAGUGGUGAAGUUUGGUAACAAUAAAAAAUGUCAAGUCAAAGGAUAUGGAAAAGUUACAAAUGAGAAAUUCACAGUGAACAGAGUUUCUUAUGUCGAAGGUCUUCAAAAUAACUUGAUCAAUGUUUCGCAACUUGUUGUGGGCAUUGGAAAUCAAGUGCUGUUUAAUGAAUAAGGAAGUGUGAUUUCGAACAUCGGCAUAAAGGAAGUUUUGCUUAAGUAAAAACGAAAAGGCAAUAUGUUUACUCUCGACAUCAAACCAAUUGUUGGGAUUCCCUCAGUAUGCUUACUUUCAAAAGCUUCAUCUGAUGUUAGCUGGCUCUGGCAUCGAAGACUUUCUCAUUUAAAUUUUCAAAAUUUAAAUAAAUUGGUGGUAAAUGAUCUUGUUAGAGGUUUACCAGUAAUAAAAUUUGAUAACAAUACUUUAUGUGCAGUUUGCGAACAAUGAAAGCAGCACAGACAAGGUCAUCUAAUUGUCAUUGAUUCAAAGAUUGUUGAACCAUUGGAACUUCUUCACAUUGAUCUUUGUGGACCCUCGACUGUUGAGACUCUUAACAAGAAGAGAUACAUAUUGGUCAUUAUGGAUGACUUUUCAAGGUUUACUUGGGCAUAUUUUCUUAGACUGAAAUCUGAAACUACUCAAGCAAUGAUCGACUUCAUCAAGCAAAUUGAACUAAGUUUGAAGACAAAGGUUCAAAAGAUCAAGAGUGACAACGACUCCGAAUUUAAGAACAAUGUUCUUGAUUCAUUUUUAACUGAAAAAGGAAUUUCGCAUAAUUUCUCUUCACCUUACACUCCUCAACAAAAUGGUGUUGUAGAAAGGAGAAAUCGUUCACUUUGAGAAUCUGCAAGAACAAUGAUCACAUAUGUGGAUCCUCCUCAAUAUCUAUGGGCCGAAGCAGUUUCCACUGCAUGUUUUACUCAAAAUCGAUCUUUUAUUCAUCGUCGUUUUAACACCACUCGUUAUGAAAUUACCAACAAUCGAAAACCAAAUGUUAAAUUUUUACAUGUUUUUGGUUGCAUGUUCUUCUCAAGGAUAAUCUUUCAAAAUUCCAUUCAAAAGCUGAAGAAGGGAUAUUCUUGGGAUAUUCACAUAAUUCGGUUGCUUAUAGGGUGUUAAACAAAAGAACAAGGAAAACAGAUGUGACAACCCAAAAUUUCUAUCUUGUACAAGCCAUUCAAUUCAAUCAAAGUCAGACUCGAAUCUGCUAUCUUUUAGCAUUGAUUAGGGUUUGUUUGAGUGUUCUAAGCCUAGUACAAUCAAGGUUUGGGUUUAGGGAUGAGUCAUCUUAAGUCAUGGUGUUGCAUUCGAGUCAAACACUCCUUCAAGAGGAGUUUACGGCCGUACUGGCCGUGAACUCAUGCCCAUAUAUAAUGCAACCCUUCAUUUUUCCUCACUUUUCACUCUUCCAAGUCAAGAAAGUCAAUUCUCUCUCAACUAUCAUCAAACUUUUCACCUUUAUCUUCAAAUAUGUAAUGUAAGUACUCCUUCCAUUGAUUAUUUGAUACAUUGCUUUAUCUAGUGAAGAUCAAUGUUUUCAUCCAUGAAAUUUCUCUUUUGGAUAGAUCUUCAAGUCUUCUUCGAUUUCACCAAGAACACCUACUAGUUCUUGGGUGGUGAACUCCUUAGAAGCCUUCAAAAGUGUGAUUAUCUUUUCUAUCUUCUAGUUGAGCUUAAGAAACACUUGAUUCCUAGCCCUAAAUCAUCAUCAAAUGCAUGAACACCAAGGGUGUACGGCGGUACACUCAUCAUAUGGUCGUAAACCCUUGUUUAGUGCAUGUUUAGGCCUCAAACACACCUCAUAUCCCAACAUAGGAUCAUGAACACUUAGUGGAUGCUAGUUAGAGCCAUAAAACACCUCUUUUGCAAGUUCUUCCAUGAGUGUACGGCCGUACACUCUAUGACCGUACACUCCAUGGCCGUACAUACUUGGACCGUACACAUCUUGGUCGUACACACCAUUGUGUGGCCAUAAACGCCUUUGAUGCAAUCAUAUGUGAUUGUAACACUUCAAUAUAAGUGUUUCCUAGUCCCUAAGGUGGUUUCCUUGCAUGAUUAGUUGCUUAUACACUAAUUAUAUACAUAUAUGUGUCAUUAUAUGCUUAAUGGGAUCCGUUUGUGCUCAAGACUUCACUUGACACUCAACUUCCUAUAUCGAUCUUACAUUCGUAUCACUCAAUACAAGUGAGUUCAUACCCCUUAAUCUAUCUUUUAAAUGAUUUUAAAUACUUUUAUGGGGGGAAUACAAGUUGAAAACAUUAUAGUUAUUAUAUUAAUCACAUGUGAUCAAUAGCUAUCAAACAAGUGGAUUUCCUUAUACUUCAAACAGUUUAUCAAACAAACUAUUUUAAAACAUUUUAUAAAAUUUACUUCAAGUCAUCUAUAAUCAUUCAAAUGGUUAAAAUUCCUUUUUAUGUUAAACACUUUUAUAUGCUAAACUCUUUAUCAAACUCUUUUUAAACUUAUAUAUUGUCAAAAUCAUAUCUAUAUAGAUAUAGUUAUAUAAGUAAGGUUGAAAGGGCUUAGGACUGAUAACUCACUUUAUUUCUUGUUCCUUGUUUGGUUGCGAACUUAGGGUAUCCGAUUGUUUGUCCGAGUGUCGUUUGAAUCUUAGUUAUAUAUUAUGCAUAUGUAUAUAGAUAUAAAAGCUUUUACCUCAGUUCAACAUCUUUAGGUAGCAAAGGUGUACAAACAUACAAAAUCAUUCAAACAACAUUACUAGUAAACUAUAAUAGGUAUAGUUUAGAGGUUUACUACUCACUGUUUCUAGAUUCACACAUGAGUCAGUUCAAACAUACUAUAUCGAGAAACAGAAAGAACAUACUAUAAUGAGAAACAGCGAGGAACAUAUUAUACACUAUACAAAGAGAGCAUAUUAUACACUAUACAAAUAGAACACACAAUACACUAGAACAAAUAGUGCAUACUAUAUAUAUACAAGAAUACUAUAACACUAAUGUGAGCCACUACUUCAUGGCAUGGCAUCAUACUGCCGUGUCAUGUUUUGUAGCCAGAGUCUCCUAGAGGGAGAGCGUGAGUUUGUGUAUAGAUCUAUACGGGACUGACCGUCCUACACCUUGCUGCUAGCUACAGUGGGACCUGCAGGUCUACGGGUGAAGAAUGUCAUACCAUAUCAACGUCUUUGAUCGUCGUGUUUUACUAGUCAAUCGAGUAUGGUUACAACUACAUAACAUUUUACCUUAAUUAACAAACUGGUUUAAGGUAGUUAGUACAACAUUAGUUACUAUAUACAACACUACAUUACAUCAUUAUUUUUCCAUUACAUUCACUUUGUGAUCUUCUCACAUAAACGGGAAAUGUAAACUAUCUUUUGGUAAUGAUAGUCAUACUUGGGAAAAACACACACUAUUACAAACGAACAACAUACAUAAUAUUCAGGUCUUGGUAGAAGACUACAUUUUUAGUAGAAAAUAUAGGAUUUUAUAGGAGAUACAAACAUUUAAUACAAACACUUACAAACAUUUUCAAACGCUUUCAUCAAACUUAUACAUCAAAUGACACUUAAAUACUUAUGAACUCACCAACUUAAAUGUUGAUCAACUCUUUCAAAAUAACUUGUAUUCUUAGGUCACCAGUAGACAGGUACCGAUGGCCAGAUUUUGAGAAUACGGAGCACUUUCAAGACUCGUCUUUAUUUUGAUUAUUCAUUUUUGGUGUCUUAUUAUUAUUAUUGCACAGAACACACUUGUAUUGAAUUAUACUAUUAAUGCAAUGGAUGGUGUUGUUGCUUGUUUACUAUUAUGCAUUGUUAUGAUACUGUACAUGACGUCCUCCACCCCAGAACGUUUCUGCCAUUCCGGUUUUCGGACGUGACAAUAGAAGAAACAUUUAAUAUCACUUUUGAUGAUUAUUAUGUUAAAAAAGUUGAAAAGACCUUUAAACAACAACCAAUAAUGAAUGAAUCAAAUAAUGAAUCUCAAAAUAUGAAUUCGUUUGAUUUUGAUUAUGAUUUGAUUUUUGGGGUUCCAGAUCGUGUUAUUGAUGCAGAAGUAAAUGUUGAUGACAAUAGAGUACCUGAAGCGUCAAAACAUUCUGAUGAGUCCACUCUUACACAUGAUAACAAUGAUUCACUUUCAUCAACAUAUUCUUCCAAUGUUAACGAAAGUCUGCCAGUUGUGUCGAAUAAUCAAGUGGAGGGGGAGCACUUGAAUUCGUCUGCUCAAGUUGAGGGGGAGCAUACUUUCGAGGGGGAAAGAGACAAAAUGAAUGUUGAUGUCAAGGGGGAGCAUCCUGAUAGAAAUCCAAUUAUUGUGGGGGAUCAAGUUGGAAAUAAUACUAAUGUUUCGAAUGAUCAAAGUGAUGAAUUUCAUGAUAUUAAUGAUAAUUUGUCUAAUGAAAGUGAUGGAUCUGAAACUAAAGAAAUUUUCGAAGAUGCACCUUUGGACUUUGAUCCAGCAUAUCCUCCGAUGGAUAGAUGGACUCGAAGUCAUCCAAAGGAACAAGUUCUUGGUGAUCCUCAUGAUGGAGUGUUAACAUGAGCUCAACUUCGCACAAAGAAUGAGGUACUUAAUGUACACCAGGAAUUUUGCAUGUUCAAUGUUUUUAUUUCAAAAAUUAAACAUAAAUCAGUCAAGGCCACUAUGGAACAUCCUGAUUGGGUUGAGUUUAUGCAAUCUGAGCUUGCUGAAUUCGAAAGAAACAAGGUCUAGAGAUUAGUUCCCAAACCAAACGAUGUUUCAGUUGUGGGCUUAAAAUUGAUAUUUAAAAAUAAAACUGAUAAAGAUGGUAAUGUUGUUUGAAACAAAGCUAGGCUUGUAUUUAAAGGUUAUUCGCAACAAGAAUGUAUAGACUAUGAGAGAACCUUUGCCCUUGUCGCAAGACUCUAGAUAGUUCGAAUAUUUUUAGCCUAUGCAACGCACAAGGAUUUUGAUGUCUACUAGAUGGAUGUUAAAUGUGUGUUUCUUAAUGGUGAACUCGAAGAAACGGUUUACGUUGAACAACCCCCAGGUUUUAUUAACGAAGAAUUCCCUGAUCAUUGCUAUAUUUUAGAUAAAGCUAUUUAUGGGUUAAAACAAGCACCCAGAGCUUGGUAUGCAACUCUUACCAAUUUCUUAAAGCAAUCGAAAUUUAAACAAGGAUCAGUUGAUCCCACUCUCUUUCAAAAGAAAGUUGGGGUUCAUCUCAUGCUUGUUCAAAUUUAUGUCGAUGAUAUUAUUUUUGGAUCUACUGACCCUGCUUUGUCAAGAGAAUUCAAAAUUUUAAUGAAAAGCAAAUUUGAGAUGAGCAUGAUGGGGAAGAUAAACAAUUUUAUGGGAUUAGACAUUCGUCAAAGCAGAGAAGGAAUAUUUAUCAACCAAGAGAAGUAGACAAGAAAUCUACUUGAAAAGUUCGGAAUGACAAAUAGCACAAAGCUGAGAGUACCAAUGGCUGUUGGAACAAGGAUUAGUUCUUCAUCGGAUAAAUCAGUUGUGGAUCUCACACUGUAUUGAAGCAUGAUAGAUUCAUUACUUUAACUCACGACAAGUCGACCUGAUCUUAUGUUUUCGGUGUGCAAUUGUGCUAGGCACCAAUCAAAUCCCAGGGAAUCUCAUCUAACUCUAGUCAAGAAUAUAUUUAGAUAUCUCAAAGGAACAACUUCGUUAGGAUUGUGGUAUCCUUCGAAGACAUGCUUUUUCAUUUAAGCAUUUUCAGAUGAUAAUUUAGGUGGUUGUAAUCUUGAUCGCAAAAGCACAAGUUGCAGAUGUCAACUGUUUGGUGGGAAGCUAGUAAGUUGGCAAUUAAAAAAGCAAACAUGUGCUUCGAUUUCAACAACAGAAGCUGAAUAUGUUGCUCUGCUGCUUGUACUUCUCAAAUCAUAUGGAUGUAAAGUCAACUGUAUGAUUAUGCAAUCAACAUGAAGAAAAUUCUGUUGUAUUGUGAUUCACAAAGUGUCAUACAUAUUUGUCAUAAUCCUGUGCAACAUUCGAAAACAAAGCACAUAGCUCUUCGUUAUCACUUUAUUAAGGAUCACGUGGAAGAAGGCAAUAUUGAAGUUCAUUUUGUAAAGACAACUGAUCAGCUUGCUGAUAUCUUUACAAAACCAUUGGGUGAAAAAUCUUUCAUAAGAAUUAUGAAUGGUUUAGGAAUGAUUGAUGUGAAUUCAGUUUCAGGACUGAUUUCGUUAGAUUGACAAGCCAAAGUGUUGGAAAAAUGCCGAUUCAACGGUUACUGUUCAUUAUUCAGCGGUCACUGUUCAUAUUCAACGGUUUGACAUGCUUCGCUUUCAACAUCAUGCACAAUGGUUUGACAAAAUCUUCGUUACUUUUGUUAUAUUUCAAAUUUUCGCUAAUCAGGUACAUAUUUUUUAUUUGCUAUUUUGUUUCAAAAAUCAAAAACAACAAAAAGAUUUUCAUUUUUUUUCUUUUUCAAAAUUCAAAAAUAUCAAAAAGAUUUUCUUAUUUUUGUUCUUUUCUUUCAAAAAUCAAAAAUACAAAAGUCUUUUUUUUGUUGUUGUUUUGCUAAUCUUUUCCUGUGUAGCUUUUAGCGAAGUUUUUUGUUGGUUCAUGCUUGCUGCUUGUGGGAAAGGUAUAUAUUCCAAACUAUGUACUAAUUAAGAUGUCCUAGAAGCAUGAUGUAGUAUGUCGACCCAAACCUCCAUGACUCAAUGUGUUUUCGAAAGCCUUAAUGGACUUUUCAUCACGAAAAUUCCUUCCCAAUUAGGCAGUAUUCACAUUAGUCUCUAAGCUACCUUACUCUUUUCAUAUUAGUUAGGAGUUAAUUGUUUGGUUCGAUCAUAGUAGAGGUACUUUCAAUACUUGAACCAAUCUUUUUCAUCCUAAAGUUCUUUCACGAUCACACACAAAGACACAUACCCAAGACAUCUCUGGUAAAAAACAAUCAGGUUAUAGGUAUGUCAACAUUCUGUGUUUAUGAUCUGGAUUCAUGAGACCGUGAUGAAAGUGAAACCCAACUUUUCGAAACUUUAAAGGAAUUGACGGGGAUUUUGUUCCAGAUUUUAAUGAAACUUUUGUUUCAGUACCAUUUUUCGAUACUUCAAAUCAUAUUCUUUCUUUUUGCAUGGUCUUAAUAAAAUGUUAGAAACCCACGACAUUUUUAACACAACAAGAUCCAGGAAUAAUUUUGUUUUAUGGAAUAUGAUUUCAGUGUGAGUAUUAAUAUGAUUCUUUGUUUAAAUUUUUCCAAAACAUACUAGUCCCUGACUACACUAGUCACACAGGUAAUUUCAGUUAUAAUUUUUCACACUUAUGUUUAGUUGUGAUAUGUAAUGAAAUUCAUAGCUACCCAUGAAUCCUUAUAAAAAGUUGCCCUUCGAUACUUCUCAAUAAGUAUUCGAUUGUAAUUCACGGGAACCACACAAGCUGUUAGCCAUCUCUCUUGAUGAAUAACGAAGUGAUAUUUGCCUGGGAUCUAACUGCAUUUGUGUCGAAAUAUUUUUUUGACAUCAUAGAACGAAAAUUUUCUAAUUUUGUUUCUUAUCUUUUUCUUUGGCACACAUUGCACUCACGAAAUCCUUGAGGUUCUGAGUAAUACCAACUCAGGUUGAUGAUUUCGAAAAAUUUUGGCACAUGAUUUCGCUUUUCAAUCCAAAAGUGAAAGAGCCCAAAUUCCAUACCAAAGGUUUCAGACGGUUCUUAUCCACUUGGUACUAUCAAACAGACUGAUGGAUAUCACGUUCUGGUUACUAUGCGGUUUUCAAGGAAAAAGUGAUCAUCACUUUUUCAGACGUGGCUAUUUUUACGGAUUUAGCUCUGCUUUUCUAGGUGACACGUGGCUUAUCAUUUAAUGCGCAAACCGUUUGGAAUUCAAAAUUUGUGUACGUAUAAAAAGGGGGUUGGGGAUUCUAUUCCAACUUUAUGCACACUAAAUCUUCUCAAAUGAUUUGUGUUCUUUUAUCUCUGCAAUUCUUCAAGUUCUUCAAAACCCUAACAAUGGCGGCCAAGUAAUCACAAACCACUAAAGAUGUUUCAUCCCAACCAAUCAUGAAGAUCCAGAGCACUAACUACCAAGUUCUUGGAGAUCUCGAUGCUUAUCCAAAAGGUUUACAGAUGCUCAUCGUUGCUCUUCAGAAUUUCGUGUUGUCAAUUGCAAUGUUCAAUUCGUUCUCAGUACCACUUUCAUGGUUGUCACUUAUUGGUUCAACGGCUACUUACAGCAAGACGAAGAAGAUCGUGACUUUUCAAUUGGUGAAUGACAAGAAAUUCAAGUUAUCCAAGAAACUCUUUGCUUAAAUUCUGAAAAUCCCAAAUUAUGAACCUUUCUACAAGGUCACGAAUGAGCAAAUCAUUCAUAUGUUCAAUGAGAUGGGUUACCAGCCUAUUCUUACCAAAGUCAGUGAUUUUAAGAAAUCUAGAUUGCCAUGUAUCUGGAACUUCUUGUUUGGAAUAUACCUUCGUUGUCUGACUGCUCGAAGUGUGGGGUUGGAUAAAGCUCGUUUGGAAGUGUAUGCAAUGGUAGGAGGGAUCUACUAUGAUUUACAGGGGGACUAUGCAACUCAAAUUUGGAAUGAGUUUGUUAAGAGUAUUGGAAAUACGAAUGUUGUAGAUGGGAUUUCUUGUGCUAGAUACUGGAGUUUGAUUUUACAGUUUGUUUAUGAGAAGGAAGGGAUUAUGUUUCCUGAAGGCGAAGAAACUGCAUAAUUCUCAACUUAUCAUUAUCCCAAAACCGUCGAAGACAGUCCAAAUGUGUUUCCUUCCAUUGCUCGUAUCCCAGAUGCGAUGCUUAGUAAAGUUGAUCCAGGAAAUUCGAUUUUGGUAGCCUAUUUGUAGACUAUAAAUCCAUCCAUUCAUAUUGGAGUGUUUUUGAAAAAGUCUGAAGAGGGUCCUUCAAAGAAACGUAGAUGAUCAACCUAGUCCUGUGAAUCCAAGUCCUUCGAAAGCAAGUCCAGUACCUGUUGAAAAAUUGGCUACGUCUCUAAAGAAAGUUGUUAAAGGAGAAAAGCCUUUGAAGAAAAAUCCCAAGCUUAUUGUUGAAGGAACUGCCAAUCCUUCGAAGGAGGUGGUUCCUACGAAGUUAGGUGUCUUAAAAAGAUUGAAGAAAAUGGAUCAUAAACCACGCCAUUCACCUGAAAGAUCAUCCAGUUCGGGAUCAGGAUCAGGAGAGGGUGAUCUGGGUGGAUCGGUACCACCCGAGGUCAUUGGUUAGAUGAGUACGGACGAGUUGGAUGCCAGGAUUUGUGAUAUCCUGCAUGAUGAGGUUGCUGCUAUGUUUCGGGCUGAGUUGCCAGAGAUGUUUGGGUCGAUCAAGACCGCCAUGAUUGAGUACUUUGAUGAGCGCUAUGCAGCUCUUGUGGAGGCGGCUGUCGCGGCAGCUACAACGGCUGUAAUAGCGGCAGGGGGAGGAACCGGCCGAGGUUUUCAGUAUUGGGACUUCGAUAAUACAAAGCCCUCUACUUUCGAUGGAGUUCAGGAUCCGAUCGUUGCUAUCAGAUGGUUGUCAGAUGUGGAAGGCUGUUUCUUCACGUGUUCAUGCCCUGCUGAUCAGAGGGUGAGGUGUGCUCUGAACAUUUUGAGGCUCGGGGAAAAAGAUUGGUGGAGGUUGACUACGGGAUCUUACUCUGAUGCACAGCAGGCUGCAAUUUCUUGGGAUCAGUUCCGGAAGAUGUUCAACACUCGUUAUGUUCCACGGGUUGAGAGAGAGAGAGAGGUUGGCUCAGGAGUUCUUGGAGCUGAAGCAUGAUUCAGAGUCGUUGACGGAGAUCACCAGGAUGUUCACUGAGAGGGCGAUGUUUUGCCCGGAGUUUACUUCGGAGCAGGCUCAUAUGACCUGAUAUCUGAGUAUGCUCAAGAGGGACAUCAAGCGGUUUGUGUCCAUGCAGAGGUGUGAUACCUUGUUAGAGCUGCAGGAGGCCGACAGGCGGCGGGAGUUAGAGAUGGAGUUGCAGUUACGAGAGCAGAGGCAGGCCCUGGUGCAGUCGCAGUCGGCGGCGAAACGGUCUANCCAAACCGUUGACUCUAGGGUUGGAGGUCAGAGCAGCCGCACUUGUGAGAAGUGUGGGAAGGGUGAUGCCGGAGUUUGUAGGUCCGGUGGUGCAUGUCGCAAGUGUGGGAAAAGGGGCAUUAUGCGAGGGAUUGUCGUCCGUCGGUCCCGGCUCAGGAUAUGAGGAUCUGUUAUCAUUGUCAUUAGGUUGGACACUUGAGGGUCAACUGUCCGCAGCUUGUUGCAAGACCGGUGUAGGCUCCAACACCGGCCACUUUGAGGAUUACAGGUGGAGGUCAGGGUGGAGUGGAGCCUCCGAGGGCUAAGGGACGCGUUUUCCAGCUUACAUCAUAGGAGGUCAUGGCCGAGCUGGAUGCAGCUACGGGUAUGUUUUCAUUUUUAUAUCUUGUCAUUUGCUGAUUAUGUGGUAUUGUAAAUCUGUUCGCCUUUUCGCAUGAUUCAUAGUAUGAUUGGGAAUCUUAGUAGUUAGGGGUUGUAGUUGGUUAGUGUCUAGGAGGAUUCUUCGUCGAAAGAUAAGGUAUAUGAUCUCGUUGCUUGGAAUCGCAAUUGCGUUGCGAGAAGUGUUCGGUUGAGAUUCGAACUUCCUUGGAGUUCUGGAUGUGCGAUGUCGGGAGAGUGUUCUAUGGAGAUUUCUCACUCCGGAGGGAUUUAGUUCCGGGAGAAGAGGGGGAACUUUAUCAAGUAAGGUUGAUCGUGUUAUGCCGGUUUGUCAGCGGAAGUUAGUAGUGGGUAAACUAAGUGGGGAGAAUUGGAAAAUUCUCUGGUGAAACAACAAGCAUCCAGGGUUGGUUAGCUGUUUGGAUUUAUUAGUGUUGUUAGCCGAGAGUGUGGCAUGAUUGGAGAAAGUGAUAGUCAAGUGGGCCGGGAACAGACCAUGGUUUCAGAAAAGGUAGUUGGUCGAUGUGAGGCCUGGGUUUAGGCCAUGGAAAAGAUUCCGGGAACGGAACAGGAGUUCGGAACCCCAAGAGGGCUAGAACAGACUGCAUAGGAGAGAUUCCCGGGAAGAAUGGUUCAGGGCGAUGUACGACAGUUUCGAGCGGCCCGGAUAGACUGAAGGCCGGAAGGCGUAGCAGUUAGGCCGAAGGCUCGAGGAACGGUCCAAACGGGAUGAAGGCCCAGGAGGGCGGUCCAGACAUGCUGAAGGUUCUUAGAGUGGUCUAGAUAGGCUGAAGGCCUGGAAAGGCGGUCCAGUCAUGCUGAAGACUCUGUAUGUGUUAGUGGAUCUAUAUGCAGAGAAUGGGUGAUUAUGUCGCCAUGAAAUGAUAAUUGAUAUGGUCUGGCCCCAAGUAUUGAUCAUGAUGAUGGAGUUGGCUGCAGGACGUGCGUUGGCCUGGUUAGCUAUGAGAUCGGACUCAGAGUAUAUGGGAGUUCGAGAAUGGCAGCUGCUCUACAUGGAUAGUGUAGAGUCGAGUUUGGCUUAGUGGCACUUAUAGGUGCGGUAAGGGUUAUUCAGUAGACUUCCUGGAAAGGAACGGUAUGUAGCUCUGGAAGGAGUGUGGGUCCUCCGAAAAGGAGGCAGUGGAGUAAAUGGAUGAUCGAAGUGCUUCAGUUAUUGGUAGUAAGCACUAGGAUUGUAUCAGAUAUAUGGAAGCAUAUACGGGUUGGCUGCUCGUUGAGAUGGUGGUAAUGUUGAAUGAUGCGCAGGCAUGUUUUCAGUCUCCUUGGAAGAGAAGGAGGAUAGUGGUUCCAGAUUGGGGAUUUGGAUAGAGGAAGAUGAGACAACAGGUUAAUAGACUCGGGAGUAGUCUAGACCGAUGCUGAGGACUGUAUAAGGAUAUAACAGUCAGAGGUCAAGGACCUAGAGAUCCUGCUAGGGAAGUGUGAGUGGGUUGCACUCCGUUGUAUCGAACCAAAGGGUUCGAGGGUGACGCAAGGAUAGGGUCCUUGGUUCUGAGUAUGGUCGUGGUCAUGAACUCUGGAUGUAGUGGUGUUCCAUCCUAGGGACGGCUGGACCAUCAUACGCGUGCCUGGUUUUCCAGCCCGAGGCUGUUUGGGCCAGGUACGAUGCGUAUGAACAUUAUAGCUGGGUGUUCAGGAGGGUUGCUCGGAAGCUGUGAAUUAUUUCAUCGUGUCAGUGCGGUAAGGGAUUUGAUCCAGGGAGGAAAUGGGAUGAGUUUCCAUCGGUGCAAGUUGAUAAAGGUAGCGCCAGUUGGGCGAAAGAUAGUGAGCUAAUACUGGGUCAAGACCCGGUGGUUUAGAAUGGUAUCCAGUUUUCGCAGGUGGCGAAUGAAUGCGUAAGACGGAAGUAAGGUAGUGUCUUCUGGUGACACUUAGUUGAUGAGUGUUAUUAUCAGAGAAAGGAAGCCGGUGGUCGAUUUGAAGCGGUUAUCAGGACCCUGCAAGGGAAGAGAUGGAUUUUAGGGAUUCGAUAGCAGUGUUUGAAGGAAUUUGGGUCGGUUGAGAUCAGUGGAUGCAUUGUGGCAGUAUCAUCCGGAAGUUAGUGUUGUCGCAGGCUUCGAGGGCGAAGCCUAAUUUAAGUGGGGAAGAAUUGUAACAUCCCGAAUUUCAGAAGUAUGGCUUAAGGGUUUAAAGUGUAAUUUCGACGAAGGGACUCGAUGAGUAGGUACGCUUACUCGCCGAGUCGAAGCGGGUUUGGGUCGCGAAGUAAGUGACCAACUCGCCGAGUCGGAAGCUGGAUUCGAUGAGUUGGUGCUGGAAUGAGAAAACCCUAAUCUUAGGGUUUACACCCAAUUUAAAGGACUUUAUGUCCUUCUCCCAGCCUCCUAAUCCCCCUGAGAGUUCCAGAAACCAUAAUCUUCAUGUGAGACUUCAUUAUUGAGGAGUUUGGAGCUUGGAAGAGGAAAUGGUGGAAAGAGCUUGAGAAAUUAAAGGCUUGCUGCAAAGGAGUGGUGUAGAUCCGAGAUCUACUUCAGUUGGAGCAUAUAUUGGAGGUAAUAAUAUGUUGCUUGGGCUCUUUUGUAUCUAGAUCUAUUAUCAUUUGAGUUUUGGGGCAUUUUUGGUAUGAUUGAGAGCUAUUUCGAGUUAGAGGCUUAGAUCUAAAGUUGCUACUUUAGAUCUAGGCUUGUGAUACUCCAAAAUGUCAUAAAGCUUCUGUCUUAGAGUUAUUGGUGAAGCUCCUUUUUCUAAAACCCAAUCCCUAGUGUGUUUUGGGCCUAUAUCUCCUUGGUUUCACAUAAAGUUUGCAACUUUAUGUGAGGGUUAGAUUGUAGAAGGGUGGAUCUAUGGAUUGGAGCCCAUGCAUGGCUCGAAAAGCCUCUAAAUGGAUUGAGAACUGGAGAGACUUGGUGAGUCACAUGGGUGUACUCGACGAGUUGCAUGAACAUGUGCAUGGACUCGGUGAGUUUGAAGAACAACUCGGCGAGUCUGUUGAAGAUUGCCUUGGACUCGGCGAGUCUGUUCUUGGACUCGGCGAGUCUGGUCGUAGAACCCAAUCUCUUUUGGGUUAAAGCUUUGGGUUAGUGAGUCGGUUGGCGACUUGGUGAGUUGGGCAGGAUGGGACUAAGAGAUCGUUGGACUCGGCGAGUUAAGUUGUGAUAUGAGAGUUUUCUGGGUGUGGGAACUCGGCGAGUCGACGGGUUGACUCGGCGAGUAAAAGUCAACCAGGAAGGUUGACUUUGUCUGAGGACUUUGACUUUGACCAAGAGUUGACCAGUUUGACUUCCAAGGGUAUUUUGGUAAUUAUGGUAUUUAUGGAAUUGGUUCUUUGGUAGUGUUUUGUGGCGAAGUUCGUGUCGGUGGUCGGAGCAGCUUGGUCUUAUCUCUUCAGUCGACAAUUGCAGGUGAGUUAUCCUCACUAUAUCGAUAGGGUCUACGGCACCAAGGCCGACCCUUUAUCGGAUGGAAAUCCAGCUAUUGUUUGUUAUGUUAUUGCUUUGCUAGAUCUGCAUCCUGGUAUUUAGGAUGGUGUUAUGUUAGUGACCUGGUUAAGGUCGGUACCCGGUAUAUAGGGUAAUGUUAUGUUAGUGACUUGGUUAAGGUCGGUACCCGGUACUUAGGGUAAUGUUAUGUUAGUGACCUGGUUAAGGUCGAUGCCCGGUACAUAGGGUAAUGUCAUGCUAGUGACCGGUUAGGUCGAAAUCCUGGUUAGGAUGUUGAUAUGCUAUGUGAUAUGUUAGACUGUUUGUCCGGUUAAGGAUUUGUUAUGUGAUUAAUUGUUUUAUGUGCACAUGGUUGUUUGAUGGGGGCUGGGUUGAGGCGGGUCCUGGUUUGUACUGUAGGCCAACAUACCCAGGGAGGAUCGGAUAAUCAGAAGGCCCAGCGAGCGGUGUGGAUAGGCUGAAGGCCCCAAGAGGGCGGACCAGACGUGCCAAGGCUCAAAGAGUGGACCAGGCCGACUUAAGACCCGGUGUGAGCGGACCGGUCAUACUAUAGACUCGACGUACAUGACUAGACUCGGAGGGUGGACUAGGUGGACUGAAUGCCCGGUGUGGGCGGACCAAUCACACUGUAGACCCGAUGUGCAUGGCUAUUUUGUAUUGUGAUAUGUUAUGAGUAUGGUUAUAUGUGGUUGGUAUUUUAGGGGUAACUCACUAAGCUUUCGGGCUUACAGUUCAGUGUUUUGUUUCAAGUACUUCAGGAGAUCGUGGCAAGGCGAAGGCGUGAUCAUACCGCUCCUCAUGAUUUAUGAUUUAUGUGAUAUGGUUCUAGGGAAAUACUCUGAUGUUUAAACUAUUUUGAAAACAAAUGUAUGAAUUUAUGGUUUUUGAAUGAAUUAAAAUGUUUAAUUUAGCUCAAAUUUUAUGGGUGUUAUAAGUUGGUAUCAAAGCCUUGGUUUUAGUGAAUUGGAGGAACAUUCGUGUGAAUCCAGUCUCAAAUCAAGGAGGGAUUUUCAAAAUGGUUUUUCAAAAGGUUUUCGAAGUAAGUAAAGGAUGAUGCAGAGGGUACAAUCAGCCAAAGCCAGUAAGUAGACCCCAAAAUACCACACGAGUUAUUUGAUCAUGAGAUGUGUUAGAACAGCAUGCUAGUACUAGGCUAGGGAUCUUCAGGAAUUGCAUGAUAGAAUUGCCUGAUUAUAUGAUGCCUGCUAGCCUAGGGUAUCCUUUGUAUGAAAUUGACAUCAUUACUAUAGUUAUUUUGUGUAUGCAUCAUGGUUAUACAUAAUUAAGAUCUUAUAGCCCGAUAAUGUUUGAUUUGGUCUUAUGUUCUGUUCUUGUAUGAUUGGGAGCUUAGGGUAGGAUUGGAUAUUCGAAAGUCUAUAGGGUCUAGCGUUAUGUAUGACUAGCAUACACUAGUGCUGCAGGGUUGGUGGAAGUUUCAUGGAUGGGUGGGUUGCAUGAGAGCAGUAGGUCGGUUAUGAGAUAGUGAUGCUCCUCUAGGAGUGGGGGUCGAGUGUUCUUUAUGUAUAUGCUAUUGUUAGGGUGUUGUGGUGAUACUUGAUACAAAUAUGGGUAGGUGUGGAAGGUAGUAUGGGCCCGUACUACUGAAAGCAUAGGACCCAUACGCGUAUCAAGGAAGUCACAAACCCUAGGGUUUUGUUGGGAGUUAGUUCUUGGGGUAUUAUGGGGAAUGCCUAAUAUCUUGUGGUGUAUUUUCAGUAUGGCGAUUACGAGGCAUCUCGGGGCAGGAUCCGGUUCGGGAUCGGGAUCAGGAGAGGGUGAUCAGGGUGGAUCGGUACCACUCGAGGUCAUUGGUUAGAUGAGUACGGACGAGUUGAAUGCCAGGAUUCGUGAUAUCCUGCAUGAUGAGGUUGCUGCUAUGUUCCGGGCCGAGUUGCCAGAGAUGUUUGGGUCGAUCAAGACCGCCAUGAUUGAGUACUUUGAUGACCGCCAUGGUGUUAUGUUAGUGACCUGGUUAAGGUCGGUACCCGGUAUAUAGGGUAAUGUUAUGUUAGUGACUUGGUUAAGGUCGGAACCCAGUAUUUAGGGUAAUGUUAUGUUAGUGACCUGGUUAAGGUCGAUACCCGGUACAUAGGGUAAUGUCAUGCUAGUGACCGGUUAGGUCGGAAUCCUGGUUAGGAUGUUGAUAUGUUAUGUGAUCUGUUAGACCGUUUGUCCGGUUAAGGAUUUGUUAUGUGAUUAAUCGUUUUUAUGUGCACAUGGUUGUUUGACGGGGGUUGGGUUGAGGCGGGUCCUGCUUUGUGCUGUAGGCCAACAUACCCAGGGCGGACUGGAUAAUCCGAAGGCCCAACGAGCGGUCCGGAUAGGCUGAAGGCCCUAAGAGAGUGGACCAUACGUGUCAAGGCUCGGAGAGUGGACCAGGCCGACUGAAGGCCCGGUGUGGGCGGACCUGUCAUAAUGUAGACUCGACGUAUAUGGCUAGACUCGGAGGGUGGACCAAGGGGACUGAAGGCCCGGUGCGGGCGGAUCAGUCACACAGUGGACCCGAUGUGCAUGGCUGUUCUGUAUUGUGAUGUGUUAUGAGUAUGGUUAUAUGUGGUUGGUAUUUUGGGGGUAACUCACUAAGCUUUCGGGAUUACAGUUCUGUGUUUUGUUUCAAGUACUUUAGGAGAUCAUGGCAAGGAGAAGGCGUGAUCGUACCGCUCCUCAUGAUUUAUGAUUUAUGUGAUAUGGUUCUGUGGAAAUACUCUGAUGUUUAAACUAUUUUGAAAACAAAUGUAUGAACUUAAUGGUUUUUGAAUGAAUUAAAAUGUUUUAAUUUGGCUCGAAUUUUAUGGGUGUUACAUGGUGCCUCCAUUUCAGGGGAAUGUCGUAGCUUCAAAUCCCACUACCUUUGAUAGUGCCAAGCAAUUGGCACAGCGGCUCAUCGAUCAUGGAGUCCGCACCUCGACAAAAACAAUAACCCUGGCCAUCCACGAACCAUCCAAGAUCGCUGACAAAAAGCAGAAGUUUUGGGACAACAAGAAGAAGAACGCGGCACAGAGCUCUUCCAAGAGGUAGCAGGUCGUGGCUGUUCAUACUAUGAUAACACCUACUGCUACUGCGCCGAUGAAGCAGUAUGCUGGGAGCUUGCCAAGUGCAACAAGUGCAGCUUCCAUCACAACAGACCCUGCCGGGAAAUGCAAUGCGCUAACUGCAACAGGAAAGGGCACACUGCCCGUUUCUGCAAGGCUCUGGCAAGGCCAAUCACACAAGUCCGCGGCGUUGGUGUGGGUCAGGCUUGCUACAGAUGUGGCCAGGUGGGUCACUAAAAAAGAAACUGCCCGAAUGUAGGGAACGCUGGCGGAAGGGGAAGAGUUUUGGCUAUAGGCCACGAGGAAGCGGUUGCUGACCUUACAGUGGUCACUGGUACGUUUCUCCUUGAUAACUCAUAUGCAUGCAUACUAUUUGAUAGUGGAGCGGAGAGGAGUUUCGUGAACCAUAAAUUUGUUCACUUGCUUAAACAAAAACCACGUGCACUUAAAGAACUAUUCACAGUAGAAAUGGCUAACGGAAAGACUGAGAGCACUAGCAGGAUAUACAUAGGAUGUACUUUAACUCUAGAUAGCCAUUCAUUUUCAGUCGACCUCAUGCCGGUCUCCAUUAAAAGUUUCGACGUCAUUAUCGGCAUGGAUUGGUUGAGUCUUCAUCGUGCCAACAUCAUGUGUUAUGAAAAGGUCGUUCAUCUUAAUCUACCGUCUAACGAUACCUGUCACAAGUAGCAAAUUUGGCUUGGAAAUUCUAUCCUUUUGUAAGCAAUAUCAAUGUCAACAAAUUGUAACCUUGACCUGAUAAUGCAUACGAUGUUAUUCAAUAACAACAAACUUUCAUCAAAAUCCAAUUAUAAAGCCAAAACUUCAUGCAAAACAUUUCAAAACUCAAGUUAGGGUUUGAAAACCCUAAGAAUCCCGACCUAAGUCCAUUUUGGACUAGGAUUUCCUUAUUGGGCUUAAUGGGCCAAUAAGCUUCCGGUUUGAUUGUUUUGGGCUUAAAACUCUUAAUUGGGCUCUAACUGGAUCCACUUUCAUGAGAAUUAACAUUUUAGUCCAAAUGGGCCUAAAAUGAAAUAGAUUACCUUAAUGGGCCAUAACUAACCUAAUUAGCCUUAAUGGGCCAUAAAACCCAUUCUUUUAUGCUAAUUGGGCCGUGAACCAUCUGUAACGCCCAUAGAUCCGGGCUAGUCAAUUUAGAGACAAUAGGCAUCAAAAAUGAGUUUUUAAUGGUAGAUUAUUUAGAAGGAAUAAUCUUAAACAAGUUGUAGAAUACGUCUCAAGGGUUCCGUACAUAUAAAGAACGUUGAAAUCCGAGUUAUAACGAAGAAGUAAUGGUCCGUCGAAGUUUUAUGGCAAAACUGGCACGACACCGGGAAACGUAAAUAGUGAAUUUACGAUGGAGGACUUUUUAGCCUUAUAAAUCUAAACAAAAGUUGUAGUAUACAUUAAACUGAGAACAUAAAAAAAAAAGAACGCCCAAAUCUGACUUCGUAUGAGGAAGUUAUGAAUUUUCUAAGAUUUGGCUUAGCAGUGCACAGCCCGAAACUCGAAUUUUAGAUCGAGCGGGUUUUGGCCUACGCGACCUAAAUAAGAAUUGAAGAUCUCAUUAAGAGGAACUUAACGGUAAAAAGAAAGACGAAAACGGAGUCCGUAUGUAAAAGUUAUAAAUUUUACGCGGGCGUUUAACAAUGUAAUCAUCUCCUACUAUUAAAUUUAAGAUCGGUCGAGUAACCGACGGAGUAAAAAGGAAAGUUGUAGAUUUUAUUUUUACCUACGCGUGGAUAUAAAUAACGUCAAAAACGGAGCUCGUAUGCGAAAGUUAUGGACGAAGCUUAGUCUCUACUUUUCGAGUGCGGCGAAUUCGAUCAAUUUUGUAAAUCCGAGAUAGAAUGAGAAUUAGCCAACGAGGUCUAAAUGAAAGUUGUAGUACUCAUAAAUACCAAAAAAUGGAUAUAAAUAACGUCAGAAAUGGAGCUCGUAUGCGAAAGAUAUGAACGAAGCUUAGUCGCUACUCUGCGGAGAAGUUGGCAGAAUUAUACGUGAGGGAGGUGGUAUCGCGGCAUGGGGUUCCGAUGUCGAUUGUUUCAGAUCGUGAUGUGCAUUUUACUUCCAGAUUUUGGAAGAAGUUUCAUGAGGAGUUGGUUACGAGACUGCAUUUCAGUACCGCAUACCACCCGCACACGGACGGACAGAACGAGCGAACGAUUCAGACACUUGAGGAUAUGCUCCGAGCAUGUGUUUUGGAUUUCGGAGGGAGCUGGGACACCUAUCUACCUUUAGCUGAGUUUUCGUAUAACAACAGCCAUCAUUCAAGCAUUGGUAUGCCACCCUUUGAGUUGUUGUAUGGGCGGAGAUGUCGCACCCCCAUCUGCUGGCGAGAGGUAGGGCAGCGGGUGAUGGGUAGCACGGAGAUCGUACUCCAGACGACCGAGCAUAUUCAGCAGGUCAGGCAGAGGUUGUUGACCGCGCAGAGUCGCCAGAAGAGUUAUGCGGACAGGCGGCGGUCCGAGCUCGAGUUUCAGGUUGGUGACCUUGUGCUCCUCAAGGUCUCUCCUUGGAAAGGAGUGAUACGAUUCAGGAAGAGGGGCAAGUUGGGACCCCGGUACAUUGGACCCUUCAGGGUAAUUGCUAGGGUAGGCCGGGUAGCCUACCGGUUGGAUCUACCUGCUGAAUUGGGGCAGAUCCAUGAUACCUUUCAUGUCUCGCAGUUGAGGAAAUGUAUUGCCGACGAGUCGGCAGUGGUGCCAUUGGAUGAUAUUCAGGUGGAUGCAGGCCUGAACUAUGUGGAGAGACCAGUAGCGAUCAGGGAUCGGAAAGUUAAGGUUUUGAGGAACAAGGAAAUACCGCUGGUACAAGUGCAGUGGCAACAUCGGAAAGGGUCCGAGCUGACGUGGGAGACCGAGUCUGAGAUGCGGGAUCAGUAUCCGGAGUUGUUUUCGGUAUGAGACUUCGGGGGCGAAGUCUGAUUCUAGUGGGGGAGAAUUGUAACAGCCCGAAAUCCAGGUAUUCUUCUUUUGGCCUUACAUCUUGGUUAAGUUGAUGAUUUAGGGUUUUCAUGGUAGGCGAGUACGCUGGGCGUACAAGGUGUACGCUGCGCGUACUCGCGCGCCUCAUUUGGACGCGUUUCCCCUCAGGUACGCGGGGCGUACCCAAGGUUACGCCCGGCGUAACUUAUUCAGACCCAAACCCUAAAUUCCUUUGAUGGGGCUAUAAAAGGAACAUGUGGCUGGUCUUCUCAGCCACCAUCCCUCAGAGUGAAACCCUAAAAAGAGUGUACCCUCGUUCUUAGGCCAUUGUGUGUGUAUUCUAAGCUUGGUGGUGCCAUUUCAAGGUUGCAAAGGAGAAGAAGAGCUUGUUGGAGAGGCUAGAAGUGGUGCUCAAGUGUAGAUCUGAACUUUGCAAGGGCUAAAGCUUCAUUUCCAGGUAUAAAGUUCGGAUCUUGUCACUUGGUUCAUGUUGUAUGCUUAAAAGGUCAUUUUCUAGGGUUUAAGUCCCAAAGGUGGAGACUUUUGUGCAAAUGGCCUCCAUAAGCUUAGAUACUUCAUAUUUCUGAUCUAUUGGGGUUGUAGACUCAUAAAAAUGGCAUCUUGGACGUGGGGUUUGCACCAUGCAUGAGAUCUAGGUCCUUGAGUUUGAAUAAAGGGUUGUUAUGUGAUGUUGGAGCCUUUACAGCCGUGCCAAGGCUUAAAGGUCUCGACUUUAUGGGUUUAGACACACUAGAAGAGUCGGAUCUAGAAGUGGAAGUAAUGGCUUAACCGAUUAAGACCAGAAAUGGAGAGUGGCUGAUUCUGGGGGUUACGCUGGGCGUAACUUCCAGUACGCGCAGCGUACUGGGUGGAGACCCCGAUGCAAGGGGGGUUGGCGAUGUACGCCCCGUGUACAUCUAGCAGUACGCCCAUCGUACUCUCAGGGUUGACUUUUGUUGACUUUUAGGGUUUUGGUCAACAUAAGGAUGAUAAGGGUAAAGUUUUAGUGGUGGAAGUCUUUGUGUAAUAAAUAAUAUUUUUAUGUUUAGGCGAGGCUGAGCCGUCGUUUGGAUUCAGUGAUAGCGAGGACACGAGAUCUUAGACUUUCCACAAGGUGAGUCUUCUCACUAUACUAUACCCGGAAGGGUUUGACUGUGUGACCGGAAGGUCGGAUAUGGUAUGAGAUAUAUGUGUUGUGUGUGAUAAGUUAAUCGUUAUAUGUGCCAUGUAUGAUAUGCUUGAUAUGGGCCGGAAGGCAUUAUGUUAUGGGCCGGAAGGCGAAUAUGUUAUGGGCCGGAAGGCGNGUGGACCAUAAGGUUGACGUGGGUAGGACCGGAAGGUUUACCUAGCCGGGACGGAAGUCCCCUGAGACACAUGGAUCGGAAGGUCAGGGCCUGGAAAGGCGUAUGUGCGUAGGUUGUAUUUUGGGGAACUCACUAAGCAAUUAUGCUUAUAGUUGUUGUGUUAUGUGUUUCAGGUACUAGCGAGGACCGUGGGAAGGCGCCGGCGUGAUUGUACACACUCACGGAGAAACUGUUUUUAUGAUCAUGGGAUGUAUUUCGUUAUGAUAAUAUUGUUCACGUUUGAAUUUGGAAUAUUAAACGAUGGGUUUUGAUGUUUACAAAAAUGAAAAAAUUGGUUUUAAAAUUUACGUUGUUACACUUCGUGCGCGAUAAAUACGAUACAAUUUUGUAAAUCUGAGAUAGAAGGAGAAUUGGCCGACGGGGUCUAAAUGAAAGUUGUAGUACAUGGAAAUACCAAUGCGUGAAUAUAAAUAAUGUAGAAAACGGAGCUCGUACGCGAAAGAUACGGACGAAGCUUGGAGACUACUUUACUAUAAAAUUCCUAUAAAUAAGAGAUGAACUCUUUAUAAUUUCUUCACACCAUAAGCCUUUCUUUCUCUUUCUAACUUCUCUCUAACCUCCUUAAACCCUUACCAAGUCUAGGGAACCUCCCUAACAUGAGAAGAAAGCCCCGGAGCGCCCGACGGCUCCGAGAAGAAAAGCUUUCGGAUCAGAAACGCUGCUCCAGCGAAGCCCGGUUUUUAAUAAAAAUCUGCUGUUUUGUCGAGGAAAAUUGUUUUGAGAUAACGAAGCGCUGUCUGAGUUCGGAAUCACCACCUAAUCAAGUGAUUGCAUGGUCUCUUUCAUCUUACACAUAGAUAUGAAGUAUUUUAUAUAAACUAUGUGUUAUGUGUGCAUAUUAUUUGUAUACUUGCUAUCUAUGCUGGAUGAAUGAUUUUAUACAAGUUUUAAAUGAUUUAAACUGUAUACGUAUUUUAUAUCUACAAAUAUGUUGGGUAUAACAUGGGUAAAUGAAUGAUGAGAGUAAAAGAUGAUAUGAGUGAUCAUUGGCAGCUAAUGGACUUAGUGCCUCUGGAAUAAAUGCUGGUAGCUAUGGACUUAAUACCUGAUAGAUAAACGUUGGUAGCUAUGGACUUAGUACCUAGACACUAAUAGCUAUGGAUUUAGUACCCGAUGAAUGAACUUUAGCAGCUAUGUAAUUAGUGCUAUACGAACGAGCAUUGGCAGCUAUGGACUUAGUGCCAGUCCUAUAACCUUGGAAGCAAAGGACUUCAGAAUGAACGAAGGCAGGAUAGAUGACUCUUAGGGUAGACUCUUGAGAGUAAGGAAGAUAAUGGGGACGGGUAAUUGGGUUGAUUUUUUGAUUGUUUAAACAUAAUAAUUAUAUUAUUGUGGGUUGAAAACCCUAUGUACUCACCAGGUUUCCCAACCUGACCCACUCAGCUUAUUUAUAUCACAGGUGUUGAUAUGAAGUCACAUUACAUUGAGAGAUUAAGGAGAUAUAAAUCACUAGUGAUAAUGAAUGUAAGUUCUAUUUAUGCUUAUGUUUCUGUAUUGACGAUGGCAUCCUAAAUGUUUUAAAAUGAAUAAAAAUACUUUUCUUCGGAAAUGCUUUGAUAACGUAUUUAUCAUGUUUUACUAGGAACAAAUUCUGCAACAUUUUUCUUUUCUAGCCGUGAAAAUGGGGAUGUCACACCAUACUAAGAGCACAAUGGGCCGAAGAAUAAUUAUUGGGCCUCAUAGUUUCAGACCAAGGCUAGAAAUGGGCCAAAUUAUUCCAUUGCCCCUUUUUCCAAACCCAAUUUUCGGCCCAUUUGAUUAAAAAAAGGGAAAGAAACUAGGGGGAUUAAUGAGAGUAAGCCACCUCAUUUUUGUUUAGUGGUUAUCCAAACCCAUUACACAUCAAAUAACAAAGCAUGAACCUAUUUUUCCAUGCAUUCUUUCUUUCCCCUCUUCCUUUUUCUUCUUGGCCGAGAAUCACAAACGCACACACACUUCAUUUGAAAUCCUUUCCAACACUCUCAAGAAAACUACUCUCUUUUCCUUUCAAAAUUUUCGAGAUUUAAGCAUUCAAAAAUGUCUUUCCAUCUAGAUCAUCACCUUGGUAAGUUUUCAUUUGGAUUCAUGGUUUAACUUCUGGAUUUCUUUAAAGGCCUUUUCCUAAACCAUAAUAUUCCAUGAACUAAACCUCCUUGUUUCAUAGAUUUCGAAAAUCACUCAAGGAAAGCUUGUUCAAGGCCUUAAACCUCUUCAUCUUUCCUUCAAAACCGAACCAACAAACCUCAAGGUAAGUUCAUACCCCCUUCUUUUCGGUUUUUACUUGUUUUUUUUUUUUUUUGGGGGGGGGGGGGGGGAAUACAAGUGUUAUGUGUUGAUCUAGGUGUGUAUGCAUGUUAUGUGUGAUUUCUUUGGUUAUUGUUGUGAAAAAUGUGAUAAUGCUUGAUAUAGUUCGAAAUCUCUAGUAUAAAUGAGAAAGACUCAUAAACAAAAGCAUAUUAAACAACAUACUUCAAGGCUCUAAGUAUUUUUAUGUAUAAGAAAGGAAAAAAAAUAAAACAAAGCAAAAGAUUGUAUAAGUAUCAUUUUCGCAAAGACAACAAAGAUAUGGGUAAAAUAUGACCAUUUUUGGUUUUAUUAGGGUUAUAUGGUAUUUAUUUAUAUGAAAUCUGAUUUUUAUGAAAAUAAUACCUUUCAAGGGGUCAAAGGCAUAAAUUUUAGUCUAUCGGGCUUACAUUUGGGCCUUACGGGUUUUUGGGCCCAAAAAUGUAAAAAUGAGGAGUUUUUGGGUUGAAAUUGUAAAUUCACUUAAAGUAUGAGUCAAAAACAAAAACAAACUAUUUCAAGGGCUGAAAUGAUCUUUAUUACAAGAAUUGGACCAAAAUGCAAAGUUUUUUUUGGAAUUUGGAUAAAAAAUGCAAAACUUAUGAAAGUUGGGACCAAAAGUGUAAAUUUUUUACAAAUAAGGGCUGGAAAUAUCAAAUAACAUGUUUUUGGGCUGAAAAUAUAAUAUAAAAAUAUUUUUGGGCCAAAAAUGCCAAGAAAAGUGAUUUAAGGACCGAAAAUGUUAUUUUUCAUCAAAAGGGACUAAAAAUGUCAUUUUUAUUAAGAAAUGACUAAAAAUGUAACUUUAUAUGAAAAUUGGGCUAAAAUGGUCGAAUAAAUAUUUUGGGGUCAAAUAUGUUAAUAUUAAAACAAUUGGGCCAAAGAUAUUAAAUUUAUAAAAAAUGGAUUUAAAAAUNNNNNNNNNNNNNNNNNNNNUAUAUAUAUACUAGGUUAUAACCCGUGUACCACACGGUCGACAAAGUAAAAACAACAUUCGAAUUCAAAAGAAAUUUAACAGGAAGAUGUAAACAUAAAAAAUUGUAAGUUGGGGACACGUAAAGGUGACAAUUUUCUACAUAUUGAAUGCCUCCUAAGGAUAUGAUUAGAUACACGUAACUUGGUUGAAAUCCAUUAAGAUGACAUAAUAAAUAUACAAAAGAUAGUUUGUAUACCUAUUGAGUAUAAAUACUAAAUGAGUUAAUGUUAUUGAACACCAUUUUAUUGGGGGUUAGCAUAGAAAGUAGAAGCUUGUUACCCGUUCUUGGAACCAAAACAAAACCAAUGAACAAUCUGCAAUUUUGGAACCGAAACCAUUGAAACCGAUUCAAGUUCAUGACAUUUUUGAACCACUACCCAUUGGAUAUCCGUCUUUCUAUAUAUAUAUAUAUCAACUCCAAAAUCUAUCUUUGAAAUAGUUAUAAAAACAAAAAUUUAGAAUUUAAAAAUAUUAUAUUAGUAUUUAAAUGGUAUACAAUGUUCAUUAUGUUCCAAAUACAAUUUAUCUCAAUAAAAAUAUUUUUUUAUUAGAGAGGGUUUAAAAAUUUCAUAGGUGUAAACCCAAAUUUUAAACGGUUAUCUAAAAGCAAGGUUGUAAAAAUCGCUCGACGUUAGCUAGUCGGUGGACUGGAGUUAAGAGAUUAAUCGGUUAGGCGGAGAUUAAUCGGGGGAUUAAUCAGGGACCAUUAAUUGUUAAUUUGUUAUAUUUUAAAAAAUUAAAUAGGACUAAUAUCAUAUAAAAGUUCAUAAAUACCACUAAUAUCAAAACAAAAUAGGUUAAUAUGAUAAAUACAACACUAAUCAUACAUCAAAUGGUUUCUAUUGAGAUAUAACUUCUUCAAAGUAUUAAAAUUUCAUCGGGUUCUACUGUUUCAAUCAUUUUGUAUGCAUGGAUUAAUCGCUAGGCGCUCUCUAAUCGAUCGAGUAGCGCCUAGGGAUUAAUCGGAGAUUAAUCGGGAUUUUUACAACAUUGACUGAAAGUAUCUAAACUUUGAGUUACCUUGAUGACAACCGUUAAGAAAGAUUAGAACUUUGAUUUUUAAAAUUAUUUGUGUUCAAGAAUGUGUCAUCUAUAUUAGAAUCAGACAUAUUGGAUAUGAUGUAUUCAAUUUUUUUGUUUUUUAGCACAAUUGCUUUGUACGAAAUUUUUCGUAUUUCAUUUAGUAUGUCAUGAAUGUCUAAUAACAAAUUUUAUAAAAAUAAAAGAUAAACAGAACCAAAACGUAUAAGAGUUCUGGAAACGGUUACAAGAUCUUUCCUUAUCUAUUUCUCUCAUAAUAUUGUAUUGUAGCUUUUUGUGCUUACCAAAUACCAACAUUUGUAUGUCACAAUUAGAUUGUGGCCACCAAUUACGUUUAGUUAAUAGAGUCCCUUAUAGGCUCUUAGCAUACUGUUUUUUUAACCAUUCUUACAAGUUUUAGAGUUGUUAAUUAACAAUGAUUGUCUUUAACAUAAAAUGGGGUGUCUUUUUAGCCAACACCUCUAGUAAAAUAAGACUAAUGUAUUUUAUCUUUUACUUAAUAGAACUUCUUGAUGCAAUACUAACCCAGGUAGAUAAUAUAACCUACCAUUAGCAUUUAGCUACCUAGAUUCUAAAUUUAUUAGAAAACACAAUACUAAAAAUUGUAAUAAUGAAUGGAUCCUUAUGUUUGAUAAACAUUUUGCUCAAGCAUAAAAAUGUUUCAUGUGCAUGCAUCGCAUGUAAUGGGUAAACUACUCAUUAGAAGCAUUAUAUACUAUAGUAAACCAAAAUAUGAAAUCAAAAAUAGAGCAUGCAUCUACAUGACAAAAUCAAACAGGUUUCUAUAAUGUAAACUAGUUUAUAACCCAUGAGAACCACGGUUAAAAAAUUAAUUAAACUUUCAUAGUAAAAACUCAAAAUUAUUAAUCAAUUAUUUUAAAUAAAUUAUUAAUUAAAAACUUUUUUUUUAGUUAUAUAAGAUUAUAAUCGUUGAUUUAAAUAAGUAUGUGAACUUAUAAUAUGUAUUAAUUUUAUUUAAUUUAAUGUAAUUAGAGUGAAAAUUUUAAAUUUUGAAAUUUGAAAUGGAUAAUCAGUAGAUUGACGACAUGACAUUAAUUAUAAAGUCUAAUAAGAUGACACAUGUCAAAAGGACAAUCAACUUAUUCUUUUAUUAGAAUAGGGAUAUCAACGUUUGAAUGUACAAAAGUAAGAAUUACAUGUACAAUUCAUAACAUAGCUCGAAGCAGGGUACUUAUGUUCUCCUUCACUAUCUUAUGUUCUCCUUCACUAUUUAUAAUAUUGAGAUAAAGCGAACACAUUAUCAUGAAGAUUACUAUUAAAUCAAGUGCAUAAGGACAAUUGCGUACUAUCAAAAUCAUAUUUGUACUUACUUUUAUAAUUUUUGAGAGGGAAGAACACUCAAUUAUAAAAUUCAACCUUUUUUACUCAAACUACAAUUCAGAUUCCAUCAAUGGAAUCGUAACAUUUUAACCGUGUCUGACCAAAAAUUAAGUGUUCUCAAUCAUCCACGAAAUUGUAAUCCUAAAUGAGCUAUUUCUCAGAGUGGGAUUAAAUCGGGUCUUAAAAAUCAAAAUACUACCAUUCAUAAUCUACUACUUCUUGUUUCUAGAUGUACGUAGAACUCAUAGAAUUAGCUACCGACACAGAAAGCAUUCAAUGUCGUUGAGCAGCGAGCCGGAAUAUUAUCUUCUGACGCUUAAGGAUUUGGAUAUUUUAAAUUUUGAAACAAUAUCAUAGUUGAUUUUGUUUCCAAAAGAGAGCAGAAGAAAUUAGAGGAGACAGAGUCGUGAUUUAGGGAUGAAGCGAUGAAACGAUGAAGGAGAGAGCGAGAUAUUGUUCCUGUUUUGUAGACUUGGUAGUUGGAAGGUCCUCACUCAAUACAAUUAAUGUGGAAUGAAAUAAAAAAGCUAAUUCAAUUAGUUUUAAUAGCAUUGAAUAUCAUUUUAAUGGCAUUGAUUAUCAUUGAGCGGGAAAAUAAAAAAAACGGACAAAGAGAAAUGCCACGUGUCAAACCGAGUGAUAAGAAGAUGACACGUGUCAUAAAAUAGACUCUUUUAUCAGAAGUACUAGUUUAUAACCCAUGAGAAUCACGGUUAUUAAAUUAAUUAAACUUUCAUAUUAAAAAAUCAAAAUUAUUAAUCAAUUAUUUUAAAUAAAUUAUUAUUUAAGAGAUAUUUUUUUAGUUAUAUAAAAUUAUAAUCGUUGAUUUAAAUAAAUACAUGAAGUUAUAUCAACUUAUAAUCUAUAUUAAUUUUAUUUUAUUUUUUAAUCUAAUGUUAUUAAUUUAAUAAAAUUAGAAUGAAAAAAUGUAAAAUUUGAAAUUUAAAAUGGAGAAUCAAUUAUUAAUUUAAUGUAAUUAGAGUUACAAAUUUAAAAUUUGAAAUUUGAAAUUGAUAAUUAAUUGGUUGACAAGUGACAUAAUAGGUGACAUAUAAUAUUAACUAGUUUAUAACCCGUGAGAACCACGGUUAUAAAAUUAAUUAAACUUUAUAUUAAAAAUCAAAAUUAUUAAUGAAUUAUUUUUAAAAAAUUAUUACUUAACAUAUAUAUUUUUAGUUAUAUAAAGUUAUAAUAGUUUAUUUAAAUAAAUACGUGAAGUUAUAUCAUAUUAUAAUUUGUAUUAAUUUUAUUUUAUUUUUUAAUCUAAUGUUAUUAAUUCAAUAUAAUUAAAGUGAAAAAAUUUGAAAUUUAAAAUUUAAAAUUUAAUGUAAUUAUGGUGGGAAAUUUAAAUUUUAAAAUUUAAAAUGGAUAAUUAAUAUGUUGAUAAGUGGCAUGAUAAAGGACAUAUAACUUUAAUGAGAAUUUUUAAUAUAAUGCCACUUGUCAAUAUGAUAUUAAACCUAUUCAUUUAUUAGGAUAGAGAGAUGAGGAGUUCUAAUAAAAUGACAUUUGUCAAUAGGAGAAUAAACUUAUUUAUUUAUUAGAAUAGGGAUAUAUAUAUAUAUAUAUAUAUAUAUAUAUAUAUAUAUGUAUGUAUGUAUGUAUGUAUGUUUAUAACCAAAGUGUCGUUACAAUCCAACGUCAAGUGUUUUACUAUUGAAAACAAAUACGAAGCGUAAAACGAAUUCUAUAUUACAAACAUAUCGAAGAACGGAGAAACGAUACAAUGAUUGGGCCUAAUGUUACUCAUUGUGUCCAUUGGGCCUUCGUGGUCCAAUUUCAUAAUUAUUAGGCCCAAUAUAAUCAAAACAUGUUUAUUGGGCUUCUGGUGACUCAAUUACAUGCCUACGGGACCCUCUAUGACUUUUACAUGCUAAUGGGCCUUAGUGGCCCAUUUGCAUUGCAAGUAUGGUCCAAAUAAAACAUAGGUUUGAUGGGCUAACGUGUCCAUAAGAAUACACGACAGCCUAUAAAAGACACACAUAAUUAGUGGGCCACAGCGUCCUUUUUCGUGUUUGUUACGCUUUACUCUAUACUAUGUAAACAUCAAACGGUUUGUAAUCAAUUUCAUUCAAAUUCAUGGGUUAAUAUUGGGGACUUAGUGAGAAAAUAUCAGUCGGCACCAAUAAGUGUCGGCCGUAGUCUGUAAGUUGUAACAGAGUCUCCUGGAGGGAGAGCGAGAGUUUGUGUGUAGAUCUAUAUGGGUGACAAAAUCUUAAUCAAAACCGGCGAAAUAGUCAUUAUCAUGCAUGGUUAUAACGAAUCACAUAGAGACCCAUUACCAUAUCAACAUUCAUGGGAAAUCAACUUCAUACAUGGUGGCUAUACAAUGUGAAUUAUGCGAUAAUAUAAAACUAUCAUACUAUUUUAAAUCGGAAAAUAUCGGAUUUUCCGGGGAAAUAACAUUGUUCAUUUGACAUACUUCAAAUGCAAGACAAAGAACACUUUUGAAGUCAUUCAUUUAUACAUGUUUUGAAAUCAUGCAUACAUAUACAUAUAUUGGAUCAUCACAUCAUGUCAUAAACAGUUUUCAUUUCAGAAAAUAUCGGAUUUUCUGAGCUAUACGAACAAUACAAACCAUUUUAUAUUAAACAUGCUUAUGAACUCACCAACAUUAUAUAUGUUGACUCGUUUUCAAAUAACUUGUAUUCUCAGGUAACAGAUAAGCAGAAGAAAAUUGUCAAGUGUAUUAGGCUUUCAUGUUUUGUGAGUUUCAAAGAAUAUACGUUUUAAUUAUGUAAUAUUUGUUCAAUGUACUUGAUGUGAACUAUGUAAGUUGUACUAUGUAAUGUUGGUGAUGUAUGUGUUUGUUUCAUGUAUAAUCAUUGUAAUGGUAUUUAAUUGUUCGUCACGCAAGCCCUCAGACGUUUCCACCGCCCGGUUCGAGGGUGUGACAAAACCCUAGUUAUCUAUGGCGACAAACCCGACACGAACCUUCUUAUCAUCUCGAGUAUACAAGCCCAUAAGUACUUGCGAAAGGAAUGUUACACAUUCCUUACUCAUGUGGUCGAUAUGAGCCAAGAGAUGAAAGACAUAAAGAACAUCCCUGAAGUACGCGACUUUCCCGACAUCUUCCCAGAAGAACUACCAGGAUUACCUCCACAUCAUCAAGUCGAGUUCAGAAUUGACUUAGUUCCAGGGGCUACCCCAGUAGCCAAAUCGCCUUAUCGUCUAGCACCAGCUGAGAUGCAGGAGCUGUUCGGUCAACUUAACGAACUGCUCAACAAGGGCUUUAUUAGACCAAGCUUCUCACCCUGGGGAGCACCGGUCUUAUUCGUAAAGAAGAAAGACAGAUCGUUCUGUAUGUGCAUCGAUUACAGAGAACUAAACAAGAUAACCAUAAAAAAUCGUUACCCUCUACCUCGCAUAGAAAAUUUGUUCGACCAACUGCAAGGGGAGAAUUACUUUUCAAAGAUAGAUCUGAGAUUUGGGUAUCACCAGUUACGAGAGCUAGAGGAGGAUGUUCGCAAGACAACCUUUCGAACUCGUUAUGGACACUACGAGUUUGUAGUGAUGCCAUUAGGAUUGACUAAUGCACCCGCAGUAUUCAUGGACUUAAUGAAUAGGGUAUGCCAUCCUUACUUGGAUCAGUUCGUCAUUGUGUUCAUUGAUGACAUACUUAUUUACUCUCGUAGUAAGGAAGAGCAUAGUAAGCACAUACGUCAGAUCUUGGAAACAUUACGAUCAAAGAAGCUCUACGCGAAGUUCUCUAAAUGCAAAUUUUGGAUUAGAAGAGUCGAAUUCUUGGGUCACGUUGUUAGUGAAGAAGGAAUUCACGUGGACCCUUCCAAAAUAAAGGCCAUUAAGAACUGGUCAGCGCCGAAGACGCCUACAUAAAUUCGUCAAUUUCUAGGCCUCGCUGGCUACUAUUGUAGGUUCAUUCAUAACUUUUCUAGGAUUGCGAAACCGCUUACUACAUUGAGCCAGAAAGGCGUGGCCUUUGACUGCGAAGAGAAACAAGAGAAGGCGUUCCAAACGCUGAAACAAGCCUUAUGCACAGCACCGAUACUAUCCCUCCCAGAAGGGAUAGAAGACUUUGUGGUUUAUUGCGAUGCAUCAAACCAAGGACUCGUUUGUGUUCUUAUGCAACAAGGUAAGGUCAUCACCUAUGCGUCAAGACAACUAAAGACACACGAGGUCAACUACACCACACAUGAUCUUGAGUUAGGAGCAGUUGUGUUUGCUCUGAAGAUCUAGAGACACUACCUGUAUGGUACAAAAAGCACUAUCUUUACAGACCACAAUUGCCUUCAACAUAUAUUCGACCAGAAGGAGCUCAAUAUGAGACAACGACGGUGGUUCGAGCUACUCAAUGACUACGAAUGCGAAAUUCAUUAUCAUCUCGACAAAGCCAACGUAGUAGCUGACGCCCUAAGUCGGAAAACAUACUCUGGUCGUAGAGUCAAAUCAUUGACUAUGAAUAUCCAUUCACAUUUGUCCAUGCAAAUUAAGGAGGCCCAGCUUCAAGCCUUAAAACUUGAAAAUGUGGCGGCUGAAUCCUUGAGAGGGAUGGAUAAGAACUUAGAAAUCAAGGCUGGCGGAGCCUUAUGUCUCAUGGAUCGGAUUUGGACACCGAUGCAUGGUGGUUUCAGAGACUUGGUCAUGACAGAAGCGCACAACACUCGAUAUUUCGUCCACCCAGGUUCAGAUAAGAUGUAUCUGGGUCUUAAAAAGUUAUAUUGGUGGCCUAACAUGAAAGCAGAGAUUGCUACCUUCGUGAGUAAAUGCCUUACUUGCGCCAAGGUUAAGGUCGAAUACCAAAAACCAUCAGGUUUACUUCAACAACCGGAGAUACCUGAAUGGAAGUGGGAGUGGAUCACAAUGGACUUCAUAACCAAGUUUCCCAAGACAACGGGUGGUCUCGAUACCAUUUGGGUGAUCGUAGACAAGUUAACCAAGUCCGCACACUUCCUGCCUAUCAAAGAGACGGACAAGAUGGAGAAACUAACUAGAACCUACAUUAGGGAGAUCGUUCGAUUGCAUGGUUUCCCAUAUCCAUUAUCUAUGAUAGAGAUAGUAGAUUCACUUCAAGGUUCUGGCAGUUGCUACAAGUUUCCCUAGGAACUAGGCUGGACAUGAGUACAACCUACCAUCCGCAAACCGACGGACAAAGUGGGAGGACUAUUCAAACUUUGGAAGAUAUGUUUCGAGCUUGUGUGAUUGACUUUGGAAAAGCAUGGGAUAUUCAUCUACCCCUUGUCGAGUUCUCCUACAAUAACAGUUAUCACACGAGCAUAAAGGCUGCUCCAUUUGAAGCCCUCUAUGACCGGAAGUGCAGAUCCCCUCUGUGCUGGGCUGAGGGGGGUGACACUCAGUUAGCUAAAGGAUGUGUUCCUGACAGCACUCUCACAGGUCCAGAAAUCAUUCAGGAAAUGACAGAGAAUAUCAUUCAAAUAUGUGAAUGAUUAAAAGCCUCUAGAGACCGACAGAAAAGCUACGCAGACAAGAGAAGAAAACCUUUGGAAUUCUAGGUUGGAGACCGCAUUCUGUUGAAGGUCUCACCGUGGAAGGGCUUGAUACGCUUCGGAAAUCGUGGAAAGCUAAAUCCAAGAUACAUAGGGCCUUUCUAGAUUAUCGCUAGAAUCAGACAAGUAGCUUACAAACUCCAACUACCUCGCGAACUUAGUAACAUACAUUCUACUUUCCACGUCUUGAACUUGAAAAAGUGUCUGUCCGACGAGACUCUUGUAAUCCCUCUCGACGAGAUCGAGAUCAACAAGAGCCACAAAUUCAUGGAAGAACCAGUAGAGAUCAUGGACCGAGAGGUCAAGCAAACGAAACAAAGUCGUAUCCCGAUAGUGAAGGUUUGCUGGAAUGCCAAGCGGGGACCUAAAUUCACUUGGGAGCACGAGGAACAAAUGAAACUGAAAUAUCCUCAUCUUUUCGCUUAGUUAUUUGUAAUAGAUUGAUUGUUUAAACUCUAAUUUCGGGACACAAUUCUCUUUAAGGGGGGGAUGAUGUGACAACCCGAAAUUUCUAUCUUGUACAACCGUUCAAUUCAAUCAAAGUCAAACUCGUUUUUGUCAUCUUUUAGCAAUGUUUAGGGUCUUUUUGAGUGUUCUAAGCCUACUACAAUCAAGGUUUGGGUUUAGGGUCUUUUUGUAGUAUACUAAAACCAUCAGUGGUAUCAGAGCCUAGGAUUGUUUUCCACUAUACUUGAUGUUUUAUUGGUUUUCAAAGCAAAAAAAAAUUGAAUUUUCUGCAUUCUGGACAGUGAACUUGCCGAGUCCACUGGGGGACUCGCCGAGUUUACUCAAAAAAAGUCCAACUCGACGAGUCCAGUUCAUACACUCGCCGAGUUGGUGCUCCAGUGGGCAGUUUUUUUGAGUUUUUUUCGCCUGUUUUGGAUUAGAAUCAUUACCACAAAAUGUUUUAGUUCAUUAAAUAUGAUUUUGUUGAUAUGGUAAUGAUGAUUCUCAUCCAAAUAUAAGAUAAUUGUCAAAGUUUCAUAAUUUGUAUUCGUUUAUAUGAUUAGACUAAUUUUUUUGAAACUCUUUUGAUAUGAAUUAUCAUCACUUAUGAGUUUAAUUAGAUCAUAGACAAAUUAUUUGAUUUUUUUAGUUGGAUUUUUUGAUCUAAUUGUUUUUGGUGGAAUCCAAUAACUUGUCCUCAAGUUAUGGAAAGUGAAAGGUCUCAUUUUUAAAUGUCAUCAUAAAAUGGUUUUAGGUCUUCCAUAACUUGUCCUCAAGUUAUGGAACUUGAAGAGUCUUUUACAUAAAUGUUUUUAUGUACACCAUAACUUGUCCUCAAGUUAUGGAAUGUCAAGAGUCUUUUAAAAACAUGCCCUUUAGUUUUGGAAUUUGUAAAUGCAAAGUCUCACUUUUAAACAUUUAGUUCCAAACCCUAGAAUUUUAAAAGUUUAAAAUUCAAUCCAUAUACUAUUAUAAUAUUAAAGGUUUAACACACACACACACACACACACACACACACACACACACACACACAUAUANACACACACACACACACAUAUAUAUAUAUAUAUAUAUAUAUAUACAAGAGUAAAGUCAGUCUUACCAUUAGUAGACCUCAUUCACGAAGCCGGUCUAUAAGGGGGUAUAAGGUUGCUGCCUAUAAAAUGGUAGUUUAAUGGGUGUCCACUCUUACCCACCGCUUCCAUGACUGGUGGAGAGUCGUUAGCCGAACGGGUUUGACAGGACAUUUAAAUUUUCAUUGAAAGUAUAAUGAAAUACUAAAUAAAUAAAUACUUAUAAAUUCCCAAUCUUAGUUAUUUAGGAAAAUGUGAAUUUGGUGCUAACCCAUGAAAUUGCACUUUGCACCUUGUUAAGUCACUAGUGGAGCGUGUGUGGUUAACCGACACACUAAUUUGGGACUGACAGUGUGUGGCAAAGGGUAGUUUGAUGUUAAUUAUAGAUCAAUGGAGCGUGUGUGGUUAACUGGCGCAUUGAUUAGGUGGUUGCAACAUUGGGUGUACCAAGCUAAUUUGCAUGGAUAUUCACACCUUGUUUGUGAUCCUCGGCAUCCCAGUCACAAACUUCAAGGGCACAAUCAAGAUUUAAACAUGCUGUUGAAAAGUUCAAUGAAUCUCAAAGGAUCUAGGAAUUUCAAUCCAUUAAAACUUAAUUAUCAAUUUCGUUUUUCAUGGUGGAAAUUAGUAAAUUGUCAUUUACCUACCUUCAAAUAUUUUGAAUUCAGAUUAGGAAAUCCCUCUUUCGAAUUGUAAAAUAUUGUGUUGGGUCCUAGCCUUAAUAUUUCCUUUGGGUGUUAUAUUAAGGACUCAAAUCAAUUAACUUAAAUUUCUCCGAUUGUAGAUGUCUAGUUCAGACAACUAUGGUCUUCCCAAAUCUUUUGGAACUAGCUUUCCUCUUGAAGAUGAUAUCCCACAUGGCGAUCAAAGUGAAAGAUUAAUCUCUUUGUCGUGCAUUAGUGGAAAUGGAAAUCAUACUUCACUCCCUCCACCUCCUCCAAUUAUUCUCCCUAAGCCACAAGUUCAAAGACUUGAAACGUUCAAGAUCACUCAAGCCCUAUUGGAUAGCAAACACAAGGAUGGAAAGUUUGUGUGUGCACAUGUCUUGGAUAUGAAGUCACACAUAGACAUGUUGAGAAUGUUGGGUGUCGUGCUCCCAAGGAAGUUGGCUAUUGACUGGGUUCUUCAAUCACUUCCCGAGUCAUAUAGUGAGUUCAUUAAGGACUACUAUGUGACAAACCACCAUAUGACCCUUAUUAAUCUUACCUAUUUGCUUGUUACUGCUGAAUCAACAAUGAUUUGGCACAUUGGAAAAACAAAUUUGAUUGGAAGAUCUAAUUCUCAAACUUCCAUGGGCAAUGACAAUGGUAAUAUUGGAAGUCUAAAAAAGAUUUCUCUUCCCAAUGGAAAGGGAUCGGCCAUAGCCAACCCGGUUGACCAAAUGGUAAAGAGAAAGCCUAAAUUUGUGAUUGUCGCAUGUGCCAAUGAAAAAGAAGCCAUUUGUUUCUACUGCCAUUUGAAGUGAAGCUGCCCUGACUACCUGAAAGAUUUGAGAGAAGGUAAAAUCAAAAAGGUUUGACUCUGCUUCAGGUAAAUCUAUUAUUUGAGUCUAUUAAGUUCCUAAUUGUUAAUUCUUAAUACAUGAUGAGACAAGGUUGGAUUUUGAUGUUUUGUAGGAUCAUGCAAAAGGAAGGAAGCUUAAAGGAAGAGUAUGUUGAAUAUAGUCACAAAGAUGGAUUUCAAUCGCAUGGUUCGAUGAUCGGAUUUUUGAGCUGCUGCUUAAGAGUUAUGAUAGACUGCUUAGAAAUUUGUAAUAACAUAGUUUUCAUUUGUAAUUGCAUUUUAAGGAAAAGUUUUUCCGCAUUUUAUAAAUAAAUAAAAGUUUGUUUUUAUAUUUAUAUCUCAUUGCAAUGGCAUUUGUGAAAAUUUAUGUUUGUAUGUUUCUAUGAUAGCAAUAUAAAUUUGAUUAUUUCGUUUGUGGUAGUGUCAAAGUUUACCAAAUAAGGAAAGAUUCCCAUCACCCAAGUUUCAAUUGGAUAGAAACUUAGAAUCAUGUAACUUGUAUUGUGUGAUGAAUGAGAAUUUUCAUUUUUGGGAAGUUAAGACUGAUUCCUUGUUCACAUGUAUAUGUGAGUCAAGUGAAGGACUAGGGGAUCGGGUACAUUGGGUGUGCGCUGGUCAGGUCCACCUCAAAGAACGAUAACACUAUUCGUCAUGAUUUAUUAAAGUUUAGUAAAUAUGGUUAUGCUUACAAGUCUAAGUAUAAUUCUGAACAUUAUAAAAGUUUCAAUGUAUGGCAAAAUGAAUAAGAAGAAUCACCUUAGGCAGAAAUAUAAAAGUUUCUCCAAUCUAAAAAGAUGGGAUAGUACUUUAGUAUCAUGUUUUAUGAUCAUCUUAAUGAUUAUGGAAAACCAUAUCACAAUUGAUCCUCUAAGGAUAUCUUAGUGCAUUUGUAUGGCUAAGAAGAGGAAUUGUGAAUUACUGGAAUGGUUAAAUCAAAAAAGGUUAAUCAUACUUCGUUCCAAAUCGAGUCUUAGAGUCAAACUCCAAGAUUGUAACUUGAGUGACUUAAUCUUAAGAAAGGUUUAUAACACUCAUCAAAUGUAGAGUAAAAUGUUUCUUACUCUUGUACAUUUGAAAUUGGUAAGUUGUGAUGUCUUGGUAAGGACAAAGACCAACUAAGGCCAAUUGUGUGAAGUGUUAGUCUUGAUUAGAAUCCGCACUGACUCUUGAAUAUUUGUUUUUCAAGGAAUGGUUCUUGACAAGAGAGUCUUAUAUGUCAAGAGGUCAGUGGGAGUCUUAAAGAUCUUGAAAGUUUCAAGAACUAAUCAAGAGUAAACCUAUUGUUAAACACUAGCACAAGACUUGAGGUUUGUAACUUAUCAUGUUGACAUAUUCUUGUUUCGGUGCCCAUUCUAGUUAAAGCUGACUAUGUAUGUGAGUUCUAUGAGUUCUCACUUGUUUACAUAACAACUUGGAAGCAAUGGUAGGCCCUUGUACUGCUAGGUGGCAAGAAAUUAAGAUUGAACAAGUUCAGUCCAUAUGGGUUUGGAUUUGUCACUAACCUUGUUUUGUGAUUAUGGUUAUGGAAAAUUCACAUGGAUAAGAACACAUACACCAUAAAAAUCUAAGUGUCAUAAGGUUUCUCUCCAAUUCAUGAAAAUGGUUGUGAGGAAACGCUUUCACUAAGUAGAUUUUAAGGAGAUAGCAAUUGUGUUAUUUGCAUUCUCAAAUUCGAUUAUGAUUAUGGCAUCCCUCUUCAUAGUUUGAAAUUGUGAGAAAGGCAAAAGGGUCUAAACAUUUGGAACUUAUUGUCGUAAGUUCUGAAUAGUUAAGACACACAUGGAAGCAAUCUAAGGAAAUGUGUAUGAUUUUGAGAAGCCUAUAUAAAGUCUUAUCGAAGCAUCUCAUAUCAGAAAUCUGAAGUUUGGAAAGGAAGUCAAUAAGUAUUGAUUUCUAGAAGUCCAUCUAAUUUCUGAAUACAUAUCAAAGCUAGUGGGAGCAUAAGUGUUAUGCUAGUAAAAUAAUAAUUAUUAUCCUAGUGGGAGCAUAAUUAUUUUGGAAAGUGUUGCAAGUUAGCAAUGUUAAUUAUAGAAAAAAAAAAGUUUCAAUUUGCAAAGAUGCAGGGUUUGAAAAGUUGUUUUUCUAUAAUUAAGGGAGAGGAAUUCAUACUUCAUUUCGAAAUCUAAACGCUUAGAUUGAGUUUUUAAUCAAAUUUAGCUAAAUAUAUAUAUGAAUGUGAUGUUGGAAUGGUUCAACAUAAGGAAAUUCUAUAUAUGGAAUUGAUAAUUACGUUCUCAAAUUUUGAUUAUGAUUACGACAUCCCUCUUCAUAAUCAAAAUUUUGAGAACAUGGCAAAUAAAAAUAUUAUAGUAAAAGAUUGAUCAAGUAUCAUGUCUUUAUGUUAGACAUUAUGAAUCGCAUCCUAUAUGCUUCGGAUAUAGUAUCGAUUGUAUAUGCUAUAAUAUUCUCGUGUUCUAAAUUUUCCAAAUGCCUAGGGCAUUUAGAGGGAAAAAAGUCUAGAACUGGAUAUGACUAAAGUGGUUAAACAACUGUUAAGGACAAUCUAAGGUUCGCCAAGGAUUGGUCGCUUAAGGACAGUUGGAAGUAUAAUAAUGGAUGGAAUAUAUUGACAUUAUUAUGAAUAGAAGAGAGUCUAGUAAUAAUGAGUUAUUAUAUGGAAAAUAUGGAAUGUUUCCAUAUUGGGGGUUGAAGAAUAGAUGAGAAAGUUAGAAGCUUUUUAUGCAAGAAGGAUGUUCAAAGGAAUGUACUUUGAAUUUGAGACUUCAUUUCCAUGGAAUUGUCUUGUAACAAUCUCCAAAGGAAUAUUGUGUAAUAUCGUUUGUCAAGUCUCUGUGACUUUUGGUACAUAGACAUUACAAAAGACUCAUUGGAUGAUAGUUUAGAAUCUAACACUUUCUAGUAGUGACAAAAAAUUGGAAUUCUUACACUUGCAAUAAGGAUUUUGAAUUAUGAAAUGAGCAUCAUUGAAAUGUUUUUCAGUUGAUCUAUUUCACAAAGUCAGGACCAUAGACAAACAUAGUGUGCAUGCUUGGAGCAUGGCAUAGCUAUUGUUUUAAUUCAAGUAGUAAGUUGAUAAAGUUUUGGGACCAUAUAGGAUUAGUAUUAUUCUUGUGUUUCACUUUGCAUGUUUUGACUUCCCGAAUAACUAGGUUAUUCAAACCAUCCAUAGUCGAUCAUACUUUGGAAGUAGGUGUUUAGGCAAGACUGUCAUGAAUGGGUCUACAGUUUGUAUAGGUGUUUUAGACAUAGUUGUAGUGUUCAUGAGUACUCCUGGAAAAAAAUUCGAGUAUUGGAUUCAAACCAUGCUCAUCUGAAUCACUUCUUGGAUUUUAGCACGAGUGAUUGUGAGAUGAUAAUAUCUUAUAUUCUUGAAACGGAGACAUGUGAGUUGUAGUUGCGAGUCGGUUGCACAUUGACAUAUGUAAACGCACCAGUAACUUGGAUGUUAUAAAACAUAUUGUUGUGUGUAAUUUGAUGAGUAAGUACAAGCAAGCAUUUGGGUUGAAGUUUAUCUGUUCCUUUUACCCCAUGUGGAUAAAAGUGAUAUAUGUGGGCAUGUCGAUGAUUUAGUGAUGACCACCCUAAGUGCUUGGCCAAGCCUGGACUGAUUUGAUUUGUUCAAUUAGUCGGUUGUCAUAAAUCGGAAAUCAGGAAACAACAAAUGGACAGCGAGAAUGAUUGAAAUCCAUGUCUCCUGUCCAUAUGAUAUCUAGAAUGGAGGAAUAUAUGAUCCCUUAUCUAAUGGACGUGUCAUUGACUAGGUCAGAGUUCGACAACGGUUUUUAAGAGCUACGAUUGCUAGUCGGGUUGUGGAGUCCUACAUGCAAUAAUAGUUAUUAGACUUAUCCAAGUGGGAGACUCUUGGAUUAGGUGUCUAAGCCCAUAACUAUAAUUUGUAUGUACUUGACCCGAGAGUAGCAUGGUCCAUUUGGGUUGCAUAUCACCAGGACAUUUAUAAGAUGGACUUUUGAGAAGAGGUUAUUUAUGAUUUGUUAAUAUAUUAUAAGUUCUAAUAUAUUAACAUGAAAUCAUAUUAUUAUUUAAUUAGUAUUGAUCAAUAAUUAAUUUGGAAUUAAUUUUGUGAUCAAAAGAGACUAAUUAAAUAUAAGGGGUUGAUUUGGUAAAUGAUUCAUUCUUAUGGUGUGGGCCAAUGAUCCAUGAUUCUUUAGGUUGGGCUAAACCAAUGUUACAACCCAUGGAUGAUCCGUGGGGGUUUAAACCCAUGGAGCCUAAGGAAUAUGGAAGGUCAUGCACAUUAGGGUUUACAUUGUGUAACCCUAAUCCUAGCCACACUAUAUAAGAAGCCCUUAGCGUCCAAAAUCGACACGAGAGGUUCUUGGAGUUCAUUGAGUUGAUUUUGGUGCAAGAACUACUCUCUCAAAAGUCUCCUUUGUUCUAGGUGUGUUGUGAUUCCAUUUGAGGUGCAACACUUGGGGCACUAAGUUCUUGAAGGCCAAACUCAAGAAGUUCCACAAGCUACAACAAAGAGGUAAUUUUAUAACUCUCUUUUAUGUUGAUUAUGUCAUUUGCAUGCUAGUUGUAGGCUUAAUGCUUUGGAAUCAAUAUUUCAUGUAUAAUUAGAGAAAACAUAGAUCCAAAGCAUUUAGGGUUGUAUGUACACCAUAGGAUGUUGUAGUAUACUAAAACCCAUCAUAAAGUUGGAGUGGAAUUGGGUGAAAACUGUCACCAAGGUGUGGAGAAUUUCCUCCCAUGGAGUGGAGAAUUGCCUUCCAUUGCCUGGCAAGCGUGUUAGAUGCAUUUUAUAUGUAUCUUUUAGCAUGUUUUUUUUUGGUAUUUUUCUAUAAAAAGCUAGCUAUCUCCCUAAUGUUAUUAUAAAUUGCAUGUUUCUCCUUAUAUUUGUAGAAUGUCCGUAAUACUCACUUUUGUUAUGAUUUUCAGGGAAAAUUGGAGCACAUGGACACAUACAACAUCUCGGGAUAUGUUCUUGGAAGCAUUGGAGCUUGAUUGGAGAUGGAACUAAGGAUGGAUGCUGAUGAAUGAUCUGGAAUAACUUGAAAGAAAGAAUUGCACCCAAUAGACCUCAUUGCCCAUGGCACGAAUUGAUCCUCCUUUAUACUCACUACUACCCCAACUAUGGACUUCCUCAAUCUAGUGAAUGCUAUGAUCCCAUCGAAGACUUACAACACUUCCAUACUAUCUACCAACCCAGAGAACGCUAUGGCCACCUUGUAGUCUUACGACACGUCUAUCCCGCCAUGGUCACCGCCUAUGGUCUUACCACACACAAAUCCUUUCACAAAACACGCCGCUGCCAAUGCAAAAUCUGACGAAAUCAUGGUCGCACCCGACCCGAGAAUAGGAUAGAUUGUCAUACUCUUGAUCCAAUGUAAAGGCUAUACCCCAAAUACAACCAUGCAUAUAAUUCGAACAAAGUGCUCCAUUGAUAUCUUGACCAGCCCACACAUGUCCCUCUCAGUAAUAUAAUGAAUUUACCACGAUGCACAUCCUUAGGGAGCCCAUAGCCUCGUCCAAAGAGGGAAGAAAUACCAUAAUUCUAUCGAAACGAUAAACCUCAAUCAUUAACAAAAGACAUUCCCAUGAACGCUCGGAACAAGACCCCAUAUCUUGAUUGAGACUAAACAGAUUCCACCAAUACACAACCAGCUCAAGAAGACUUCCAAGGUGAUCCUGAAUGCUACCAAAACCUAAGCCUACUAUAGACCAAAAUUCCACGUCACCAUUGAGGGUAAACAUACCUAGAGACCAAAGGAACAUAAAAAAUACUAAACUUGAUGAUAGGUUGACACAUUCCUUGAACUUCAACUGUUACCACUUGAAACUUUUGGAGAAUGUCUACUGAAUGAUAAGCGAAAUGACCAAUGAUCGAGGACGCAUUGACAUUGGAUCUAAUGAACCAAAUCCUGUGCGGAGCUGAAUGUAUCCAACAUGGAAAUUGAUUUCCUGAUCGCCACAUACUAUAUACCCCUGCCCUCACCAAAUCCUGAACCGAGAUUCCAUAUACCUGCAAUGCAACUCCCUAUGAGCCAUUCUUCCAACAUUACGAACUCAAGCCGAUCGAUGAUCCUCCAAGAAGAAUAUCCAAUUCUCCCCCACUUAGGGUUCGACCUACCGCCCACUGGUGUUGAAAUCAAACCACAACUCAAACCGGUUCAACCAGGUAUGACUAUCCCUGACCCCGGGAAUGAAUAACAAACGCAUGAUGAUCUUCUAGAUAAGGACCAAUCAAUCCUAAGAGAAAUCUAGAUUUCGGCUGAAGACCUCUAAAAUUCCUAAUUAUAACCACUUUAACAUUAAGGAAUUCAUACCAAUACAUAUGCAAACACCGACUUACGAUCCAAAACAUACACCCCAUGCCUGCAAUCCCAACCGUCAAUCCAGUAAUUGACCUUCCUAUAUCCAAGGAAACAGACUCUUGAUCGCAUCACAAAACAUCUAUACCACAUCAAUCCUCAUGCGCACUCCCAUGCUAACAUAUUGUUGCCAAACAUCGCGUCCAACAGACCCCAAGUAGGGUUUACAUCCAUACUCUGACAGUCACGAGCCUGCUCACUCCUUCCCCGAACUCAGAAACUGAAAGAAGGCAUAAUCCUUGUCACAGAUAGCGACAAUCCAAUCCACAAAUUAACCACUCAACUUCCAGCUGCAAUCCCCCAACCUAUCAUAACAAUCGUUUCCUUCUUGAGUCCCCCGACUCAAUGCACGACCUCGAGCAACACCCUCAGGACCUUAGAACCAACAAACUCAUCGAGGUCUGCACCAAUCAACCCAAACUGAUAUCACCACUAGGGCCAAAACAAUUUCCAAGCCCAUCCUUAUGGAUGAGCAACCAUAACCAAAUGGUCGAUAGAUAUGGAACCACUUCCACGAAUCAUGGUACCAAACCAUGCUAUCUUCCCUGACCAGCCCUUAGGAUCCACAAAACUCUUAUUGAUUUGAGUAUAGAUCUUGUGUUUCCAAUAGUACGGACCCAAUACUACCUUCCACACCUAUCCAUACUUUCCUUAAGGAUCAUCUCGGGUCCUCUAAGAACUAUUCAUAAAAUAAUUCUAAGACCUGCUCAACAACAAAACAAUCGCACUAACAUACCCCCUAGGCUCUCCUAGGAUUCCCCAUCCCCUACCAUCAACUGCUGAGGGGGCUUCCAUCAAUGCCAGCCAACCGCUUCAUGAAUAUAAUUACAUGCAACAAAACUUAAAUAAUCUUUUGACUAAACGACCCAACCCUACAACGUUUAGAAUCAAACAAGAUUUACGCAAUAGGGCCAAAUCCUUCACUCUAGUAUUAUUUAACCUCCAUAGCAUGCAACUUAAUGUAUUCAUUUGAUAGUUAGCUCCCAUCAAUGUUAGUCCCACAAAGCACAAAGUAAGCAGUAUUCAAGUAGUGGAGUCGAGUGGCACUAAAACACAAUAAAAUCAGACAGAUCCUCAUACAAAAUUCUUGAUCUCUAUCUCCCAUCAUCUCGGAUACACGUUCACCCUGACCUCACUCACUCAAGAGUGGGUAAUAAUCCUCACGCUGACCCACCAUAUCUGCACCCACUCAUGAAACUUCCACCAACUCUUCUACACUCGUGUAUGUUAAUCAUACAUAACAUAGGAUCUUAUAGACAGUCGAAUACUAGAUUCUACCCUAAGCCCUUCAUCAAACAAGAACAAGAAAUAAGGCUAAACCAAAAAUUCUUAGGCUAUAGAAUCUUAGUUAUGUACAACUAUGAUGCAUACCUUAAGCAACUACAGUAAUGAUGUCAAUUUCAUAUAAGGAAGACCCUAGGCUAUCAGGCAUCAUAUACUCAGAAAAUUAUAUCAUGCAAUUCCUUAAGAUCCCUAUCCUAUCACUAGCAUGUUGUUCUGACCUCACUCACUCAAGAGUGGCUAAUAAUCCUCACGCUGACCCACCAUAUCUGCACCCACUCAUGAAACUUCCACCAACCCUACUACACUCGUGUAUGUUAAUCAUACAUAACACAUAAUCUUAUAGACAAUCGAACACUUGAUUCUACCCUAAGCCCUUCAUAAAACAAGAAAAAGAAAUAAGGCUAAACCAAAAACUCUCAGGCUAUAGAAUCUUAGUUAUGUACAACUAUGAUGCAUACACUAAGCAACUACAAUAAUGAUGUCAAUUUCAUAUAAGGAAGACCCUAGGCUAUCAGGCAUCAUAUACUCAGAAAAUUCUAUCAUGCAAUUCCUUAAGAUCCCUAGCCUAUCACUAGCAUGUUGUUCUAACAUAUCAUAAUAUCAAGUAACAAUAUGGUAGUUUGGGGUCUACUUACUGGCUUCGGCUUAUCGUACACAUCACAUCAUUUCUUGAUUAUUUUGAAAACAAUUUUGACUAGAACGCCGCACCGGCCUACAGACUAUCUAGACCACUCACAGAAUCUUCAGCAUGAUUGGACUACCUCACCGGGCCUUUAGCCUAUAUGGACCGUUCUCUAGGCCUUCAGCCUAACUGGUCCGUCUCACAUGCAUUUAGUCUAUCUGGGCCACCUUAGGUCUCUUGGCCUUUAGUCUCCACUGGUCCCCACACACAACAUGUCAGCAUAUACAUAACAUAUACACAUACAACAUAUCGAUAUAAAUAUUACCGAGUUUUUUGACUGGCAACACAAAGCAGUACAAUCUCAACCCACCCACACUACAUCAACAUAUACGACCGGUAAACAUAUAGCUAGUAAACAAAUAAUAGGCAGAUCUAAUAGAUCACUAAGCAUAACAUAAUCCUAUAUACCAGGAUACCGUUCUAACAUAUAACCACAACACAAAGCAUACUGUCACAUAUCAGGAUAUCUAAUCCAAUGGACCGGCCUUGGUGCCUUCGACCCGUAAGUACAGUGAGGAAAAGAUCACCUCAAUCCGCUGAUAAUCAAAUAACUGCUCAGAUCAUUGAACCGGAUAGCCUCACGCCAACUGACAAUAAAUACAAUCUUAAUCAAUAAUUAACCCGAUAACCCACAAUCCGAUGCGCACUCCAUAAACCGAUUUCCUAAAGGGUAAAAGUCCAUUUUACCAUUUUUUUACUUGUUCGAUAACCAAGGCGCAACCCAACAUGCAUAAAAAUCCUAAACCCAAAAUGGCAAUCCAAAGCCCAAAUCAAAAACAACAAAAGCCCAUUAUGGCCCAAUAACCUAAUUGGGCCCCAAAACCAUCACGAACAUACUUCCAAGAAAACCCUUAGUCUAUCUGUGGUCCAAAGUCCAAAGUCCAAUGGCCCAACAAGGCCUAAGUCUCAAAAAGCCCAAAAUGGCAAACUGGGGAGCACAUCUCGUGUACCAGGAAGCUACACACCACAUACUCACUCUCGACGCAUAGAGUAUAAGCAGUUGAUGCACAAAACAUCCAUUACGCCAAGCGUACUUCCUACGUACGCCCAACGUACUCAUUAGGGACCAAAAAUCCAUAUAAAGCUCUUAAUGGUUAAGCCAACGACUUCUAAACUCAUAUAUGACCCUAAUGAUAUGUCUUAACACGUAAAGUUGGCAACUUUACUCCUUUGCAUGGCUUAAUGGGACCAAAUCCUUAAUAACAUUCGUAAUAAACAUCGAAACUCAUGCAUGGUCCAAGAUAACUCACCAAGAUGACAUUUUUAUAAACAAGGGACAUCCCAAAGGCCAAGAUCCAACAUUCUAAGCUCUUGGAGUAGCUCAUACUCACAAGAAUGACUCUAAGGACCAAAUUAAACACAAAAUACACUUUAAACUAGAUCUAACACCUAGAGUCAUCAAUAUAGAAACUUUAUACCUUAAAAGGGGAGAUCAAAAUACAACAAGCCUAGAUCCAAAAGCUUCAAGCAAUCCCACACUUCUCCAAGAAGUUCCUUCUUCUUUUAUGAACACCAAAAACCAUGAAAUACCAACAAAAGCUCAAAAACGACUCAAAUGGGGACUAGGGUUUCAUUGCUGGGGUUUAGAGGGAUGGAGGCUAAAGAUAAUAGGGUUUGAUGGUGAGUUAAGGAGCUUAAAUAGGGUCCAAGACCCUAAAUUAGGGUUUGGGUCUGAUUGGAAUACGCCCAAUGUAAUUCUGGUAUGCCCAACAUACUCUCUGUAACAUCCCGAUUCCCAGGUGUGAGAUUUAAUCCUUUAAGCAUGUUUUUCCAUUGGAACUUAACGAGUUGACAGCCUCAACUCGGCAUGUUGGAAGGCUUUUGGGCCGCACAUUUUUAUGGACCAACUCUUCGAGUUAGUGAAGAGAACUCGACGUGUUGAUGGUUGAAUGGGAAACCCUAAAUUUUAUGGUCUUGCACCCUACCCUACACUCAUUCUCGUCAUUUCAAAAUCGACCAAUCUUCUCAUCUAUUUCCAAACUCGAAAUCAUUUUUGUCAAUCCUUCCUCUGUUUCAAACUUUCUAAAAUCGACAUUUCCUAUUGUGUCUAAGGAUUCACAAAUUCCUACUUUGUCUAGUCAUGGAAAAUUGGGCUCCAAUUCAAGAAACUCAAGUAAUAAAUUAAUUCACAUUAUGUUAAUCUACUAUGUAAAUGUUAUUCUUUCAAUGUGUUAUUGUGUUAUGUUAGUCUUUGAAUGUUUUAUGUUGAUGUAUAAAAGUACAUUAUUAUUAUAUUAUUCGGGUUAUAGAAUCAUUAUACGGUUUAUUCGAUUUUUUUCUGUUAUAUUAGAUCCUUAAUCAUCUUGUACAAGUUAUUCCUGCAAUACCCGAAGCGAAUCGAUUAAUACCCGAACCAAACCCAACUCGUAUUGGUUAAUUGGUUCAAUUUCCGGUUCAUACAAUUACCCUUAUUCGGUUUUCAGGUUAUUCGGAUUUGGGUCGGUUCGGUUCGGUUCCGACCCAAAUAACAUCCCUACAUUGUACUAGCCUCUGGUCAUACUUUAUUUAAAAAGUCCUCUUGUGGUCCCAAUAAAAAUAAAAAAACUAUUUGUUUGACUUACGCAAUUUAAUGCGAGUGGGUUAUAGUGAAUUUAAAAAUAAUUGCAGAGAUAUAUAUUAAUUAACAAAAAUUCUUACUAUUGUUACUACUUUUGCAAGUACAUGUUAUUACUUAACCAAUGAUUGUCAGAGGACAUGCUAAAUUGCUAAUUCCAUAAUAUUUGGUUGAGAGAGAGAGAGAGAGAGAGAGAGAGAGAGAGAGAGAGAGAGAGAGAGAGAGAGAGAGAGAGAGAGAGAGAGAGAGAGANNNNNNNNNNNNNNNNNNNNNNNNNNNNNNNNNNNNNNNNNNNNNNNNNNNNNNNNNNNNNNNNNNNNNNNNNNNNNNNNNNNNNNNNNNNNNNNNNNNNNNNNNNNNNNNNNNNNNNNNNNNNNNNNNNNNNNNNNNNNNNNNNNNNNNNNNNNNNNNNNNNNNNNNNNNNNNNNNNNNNNNNNNNNNGAGCAACCACGAACCACCUCACCACAAUCGGAGUACUAUCCGUUGAGAACGAAAAGAGAAAAAGAAGAAAGAAGAGAGAGAGAGAGAGAGAGAGAGAGAGAGAGAGAGAGAGAGAGAGAUCUACACCAACGGCGGAUUCAUCGAUGUUGGUCCUUGGACUUACCAACAAACCCCUUGUGAAUUCGGAUAGACACACAUUUUCAUAAAUAAAUCACCAUAUAAUAACUAACCUAAGGUUGUUAGAGCACAUGCUGGAUUUAUAAUACACAUUUGGCACGCUGGCAAGCUGCAACUGAGUAGUAUGGAGAUAAACCAUAUCGUAUAGUUGACUAUUAUGUAACGUUUACAUAUAGAACGUUCUAUAUAUUCUAAAAUACAUUACUAGCUUUGCUUACCAAAAAUAGAAGCCAAUCCGCUCUUAAUUCCUAACACUUCAACUUCAAUUCUUCCGUGGUCUUAAGUCUUGUUUCUUGAUCUAUAGCUUUUCUAAAUCCAUCCGAUUAGAAUUGCUAGGGAAUUAAUUUUCACUUCUCUUUCACAUUUGUAGUCAACCACAAACACAAAUUCUUUUAUCAUGAAAGAGUUUGAGCACCUCAGAAUUCCAAUUGAAAUCAUUAAACAUGCCACCAACAACUUUAAUGAUCGCAACUUUGUUGCACAAGGUGGUUUUGGCAAGGUAUAUAAAGGAGUAUUCGACCACUCUAAGGGUCAGACUGAGGGUGCUGUCAAGCGCUUGGAUCGUUCGAUAGAUCAGGCAGAUGCUUCGUUUUGGAGAGAGGUCAUGUUUCUAUCCAGUUAUAAACAUGAAAAUAUUAUCUCGCUCCUAGGCAUUUGUUAUGACAAUGAAGAAAGGAUCAUCGUGUGCGAGUAUGCAUCGAAUAAAAGCCUUGAUUUUUGUCUACGUGACCCCAACCUCAAGUGGAUUCAACGUCUCAAGAUAUGCCUUGGGGCUGCUUGUGGCUUGGAGUACCUUCAUGAUCACAAAGAUACCCAACAAAGAGUCCUCCACCGUGAUAUUAAGAGUGCCAACAUUUUAUUAGACGAAAACUGGAAUGCUAAAAUUGCAGAUUUUGGUCUAUCCAAAUAUGGCCCUGCUAACCAACAACACACGUUUAUUUUCUCGGAUGCCAAAGGUACUAUUGGCUAUUGUGACCCCAUGUAUGUAGAGACAGGGUUAUUAACAAAGGAAUCGGACGUCUACUCUUUCGGGGUUGUACUAUUUGAAGUUUUAUGCUCAAGACAUUGUGUUGAUUUAAGAUAUAAGGAUGAGCGCCGAAUUCUACCAAUGUUGGUAAAGAAGUGUCAAAAACAACAAACACUACAUACAAUUAUCGAUGUUAGGCUAAGGCAACAAUUCGAUCAACAUUCUUUUGAUAUGUUCGUAUCACUUGCAUAUCAAUGUUUGGAAAGAGAUCGGACUCAUCGUCCGUUAAUGCCUUCGGUCGUGAGCAAGCUUAAAACUGCACUCCAAUAUCAAGUAUGUUAAUAUUUUAUUUCUUUCUUUUCACUUUUUUAUCAUCUUAAUAUGUUCUUUUCAGUAUGAUUUGAAGAAAACUAGAAAGAGAAAGAUUUGUCCGAAACAAAAGAUUAUAUUCUUUCACGGUUGUAUAUAUUAUAUCAGAAAUCUAAAUAAUACAGCCUAAUUAUGACCUAAAUUUCGUGAAUGAUAUACGUAUUUUUAAAAAUUCAAAAUUAUUUUCAAUUUAUGAUCCUCGUUGACUAUCCCUUUGCGGAGAUCCAUUAAAGUUUCUAAAAUGAAAUUUUUGCGUGGAUAUGUUUACUUGCAAUAUAAAAGAUAAUUAAUUUUGCAUGAUUGUUUCAUUGUUUAAACCUGAAUUGCUUUUGUGCAGGAGGCAUUCGAGGUUAAAGCUCAAGAAGCAAAGAGGAAAAUCAUAUUUUUACAGAACAACGUAGACCAAUUAUAUCAAGAACCAGAAGCGUCAUUAAAAAAUGUCGUUGUUAAUCCCCUUCUGGAUUAUGAGAAAAUCUGUCCACCCGGGGGGAGCAAUUUGAUAAUUCUGUACACAACCACGGUCAAAACCAUCCCAAAGACAUUCCAAGAUUGCUCGAGUCUUCGACUUAUUCUCAAUGGUUUUAAGGUUUUAUACCAAGAAAGAGAUGUAUCGAUGCACGUGGAUUUCAGAGAUGAACUAUGGCGGAUUAUGGGCAAGAAAGUGGCACUGCCAAGGCUGUUUAUCAAAGGCAGUUACAUCGGAGGAGCCGAUGAGGUUUUACAUUUGCAUGAGCAAGGGAAAUUCCGGCCCCUCCUCGCUGGAAUACCAAUAAAAAAAUUGGAAGGGCCAUGCAAAGGAUGUGCUGGGAAUUUGUUUCUGGUGUGUCCUAAUUGUAGCGGUAGCAAGAAAGUGAAUUCUGGUGGCAGAGGGUUGCCAAAGAGCUGCAUGAACUGUAACGAGAAUGGGCUGAUCAAAUGCCCUAUUUGCUUCUGAAAUUUCUGUUCAUUAACAAAUGACAAAAUGUGAUUUCAAUAUUUUUAUCGUCAUUCAUCUGCCCUUUUGAUUUGGUUGUGUUUUGUUGAUUCGUUUCUAAAAAAUAAAUGAUUCACAAUUCUGUGGAUUUUAGAUAAAAUUAUUAUAUUAUCUUUUUUGUAGUACAUGAUAUAAGCCAUUUUUCAUAUUUAGUGUAUAUUGGCAUUGGCAUAUAUGUUGAGUAGAAUUAAGAUUGUAUAACUAUGAGAUCAUGGUAUAUAAUAAAAAGCGACCUCAUAAUGAAUAGUAUAAUUUUAUGUUUUCAUAAUUUGACCAUAAAAAUUUAUUCUUUCAUAAUUUAGGCAGAUUUUUUUUUUCAUAAUUAAGCUAAAAAAGUUUCUUAUGUUGAUAAAUUUGGUCUCUAAACUUUCAUACAUGGGCAAUUUCCUCACUAUUAUUUUGUAGAAAGACAUUUUCCACCCUUUACUUUGUAGAAUGACACUUUCCAGCUGUUUACUUUGUACAAUGUCACUUUUACCCCUCAAAGUUGAACGAUAAUUUUCACCCCUUCAACUUUUGUAUCUUGUCAUAUUUGAACAAUAAAAUGAUGAAUAGUAGUAAUUUCCUUAUAUGUGAGUAGAAUAUAAUAAGCAAAAUCUCGUUUGCACCCAACACUCUUUUUUGUCUUUUCAAAUUUUUUUUUCAAACACACUUUUUUUCACUCAAAUCUAAAAACCUAGAAAAACAUAUUCUUACGCAUGGGGUUUAACUUCAUCAUUUAUUAAUUAAAUGCAUUAGUCUUAUAUGUAAUGACUACUUAAGCUUUCCUUGAUACAUUUCAAGUACACGAUGCUAAACAUGUUGUGUAUCUCAAAUUAAGCAAGGUUGUGUUUUUUUCCCAUUAUUUCACUAGAAUAAAGGAGGCCACAAAUGCACUAUAAUGUAUAUUGCCUCAACUACACAUUUAGAUCCUCAAAUAAUCAUCAAACACAAUACGAGCAUGGAAUCCUAAUUGCUUUACCAUAAUUUUCUGAAUUAACCCUAGCAGUUUUUAUGCAAAAAAAUUUUUAAAAUUUUACGCUUAGGAUUCUAAUGUAACUAAUGUAAUCAACCCCUUACCUUACACUUAUUUCAUGCAAUGUCUCCAUUGCAUGCUAUGCAUAAUUAAAGUACAUAAAAGUAAAAAGAGAGAAUUGGAACAGACUCCCCUAGGAUAGAAGUGGCAAUGUUGAUAUUUCUUCUCAAUAGCUCCUUCUUCAAUUGACUUUGGCAUGGGAACAGCUUAUCCUUACCUUGGGUGUCAAACAUCUCAUGUGGUUGACAGCUCGUAACACAACUGGAAAAAGCUUCUUGUAAAUGACUUGGAAUGACUUCAGAAAUAUGGACAAUGCCUGCCUUGACUAGGAUCAAAUCGAUGACUCGGAAAAAAAAAAAAGAAUUGACUGAGCAACAACACGUCGAGUUGUAGUGGAAAAACUCAUCGUGUUGAACUUGAACUCGUACAGAAAUCGCGUUUAUCCUCAGGAACUCGCCGAGCUUAGGUUUUGACCACGACGAUUUUAUGGUUCAUCUCAUGAUUUUUUCUUCUUUCUGCUUCAGUUCUAAUUUCUUGGUCAAAGAAGGUAUUAAUGUAAUACACCUUUUUAAAACUUCAGUAACAUGACUCCUUUUAUCAACUAUAAUCAUCGGACUCAAUAAUAUUGCACAAAGUCUUCUAAUCUUCUCGUUAACGAUUCGAACCCUCACUUUAUCCUCUCACGCUUUAACUAUUCGAUAUAUUCUCAACCUAAAUUCUGCAAAGAUAAAAAAAAACUUCAUAAAAUAAGUAAAAACAACCAUUAAAAUUAAAGUUCCUAAAUUAUCCUACUUACUAGAAAUUUUUAAAAAAAUAAACAAACCAAAACACACAUAACAAAUAAAAAUUGUCUCAAACACUUAAAACACAAAUAAAAUUAAAAGGAUAAUUAGUCGUCAUCUUCUUGUCCUCUAGCUCCACUUCCUCCAGCUCCUCCUUGCCUCUCUCUCUCCAAAGAUCCUUCCAACAUGGAAUAUACGGAUAUGUAGGAUGAGAAUCGGCGCGUUUGUAACGCAUGUGUUUCCGGGCUUGCCAUUUUUAUCAAUGUAAUAGUCUAGGUUAACCUUUGUAACCCGUUUUGAAAUAAUAGAAGUGUAUUAUUUGAGUAUUAUGUGUUUUUGUGCUUAAUUGCUUAAUUAUGUGGUUUGAUUAAUUAAGAAUAAAAAUAAGCGUCAAAAUUCAAGUGUAAGAUAAACUUGAUAUCUUUGAAUAAUGUUGUAGUAGUUGAAACGAGGUUUCCGAAUAUAUAUAGAACACCCAAAUCUGACUUCAUAUGAGGAAGUUAUGAUUUAUUGAAGUUUCUACUUAGCGGUAUGCAGCCUGAAAUACUCGAUUUGAGAUCGAGCGAUUUUUAGCCGAAGCAAUCUAAACGAGGAUCGAAGGUCUCGUUGUUGGUAUCGAAGCGAUAAAAAGUUGGGCGAGAACGGACGUCAAACGAAGAAGUUAUGAAUUUAUAACGAAGUUUUUCUGUCGCGGUCUAUUAAAAAUAAAUAAUAAAAAUAAAAUCAAAAUUAGCCGACGGAGUCUAAACGAAAGUCGUAGAGCGUAGUCUCACCUACGCGUGGAUAUAAAGAACGUCGAAAAUGGAGUUCGUAUGAAGAAGAUAUGAAUUUCCGAAGUUUAUUAAUUAUUUUGUAUUUAAAUUAAAUCUUUAAAUCCGGCAUUAUCCGAAGGGGAGUCAGCAGUCCGAUCCGAAGUACGCCCCGCGUACUCCGAAGAGUGUCGACACUUCGGAUGACGCAUGCAGUGACGAUUUCGGAGGCCUGUACGCCCCGCGUACUCCGAGGCUCCAGCCUCCUAUAAAUAGGAUGCGAGGGCAGCCGACCCAAUUGCCAAUUUUCUCUCUUCUCUCUCCCGUUUUGCAUCGUUUUGCGUGCCAGAAAUACCCCGAAGCCCCGGUAUUAUUCUCGAGCCCCGAGGCAAGUCCCGAGAUCCCGAAGAUCCCGAGAAGUGCGGUUCCCGAGUCGAAGCUCUGCCCGCGAGAAGUUCGAUUUUUGUGGAGAUCUUCCAGAUCUGCUGAGGAUUACUACUUCUGCAAGUCGUAGUGCUGUCCGAUCAUCUUCUGAUCAAGUGAGUGUAUACUACCUUUCAUAAACACGAUAAUAAUACAAGUACGGUUUGAGUGUAUUAAGUAAAUUGUGGUUUAUAUGUGUGAGGGUGUAGUUACUUUCUUCUAACGAGUAACUAUGAAGUAUUUUAUACGAUAUACUUGUUAUGUGUAUAUUUUGUUGUUAUAUGAGUGAAUGUAUAUUCACUUUAUCCAAUCUCAUAGAUCUGAUUUGUUUCUAUGAAAUACGUGUUAUGUACGUAUGCCUCAUCUGUUAUGUGGAAUAUAUAUUGAAUGAGAAUGCUAUACAGGUUUUAAACUAUGUAUGAAGAUAUAUAUUUUUAUCUACUAAUAUGUUGGGUAGAACAUGGGUAGAUAGUUGGUGUGUAAUAAACAGAUGAGAGGCCUCGAUGUUGU
RNAcentral lists this long non-coding RNA (69352 nucleotides) under Lactuca sativa (garden lettuce). RNAcentral describes it as "long non-coding RNA (LSAT_LNC005311)". Lineage: Eukaryota; Viridiplantae; Streptophyta; Magnoliopsida; Asterales; Asteraceae. The record is from RNAcentral.